RNAcentral lists this long non-coding RNA (60496 nucleotides) under Eucalyptus grandis. RNAcentral's name for it is "long non-coding RNA (EGRA_LNC001441)". The record is from RNAcentral. Lineage: Eukaryota; Viridiplantae; Streptophyta; Magnoliopsida; Myrtales; Myrtaceae.
GUACUUAAUGGAUUUGAACACACAUCUUACCUUGCAUUCAUGUGGUUAACGAUGAAAUUAUUACUCUCAUUACAGUGGUUUGCUAUAUGGCGAUAUAUGAGAUUCCAUCAGCAAAGGGGAAACCCAGAGUUGUGGAUACCAGUGAAGCUCUUUCAUAUGAGGCUAUGUCAAGUCUUCACUGGAUUUUUCAAGGCACAGCUAUUCAUUCCAUGAUUUAAUUAGUCACUGGUUCUAAGGAAAAUCUGUUGGUAUGUAGUUCGGUUACCACAUGAUCGGUUACAGUCAAGCUUUUGCAAUACUUUAGAAGAUACAAAUAUCUCAGAAAUUCCCCAAAUCAGGUACAUCUUUGAAUUGCUCCUAGUAUUUGAUUGUACAUUUUCUUGCAAUAGAUCGAUAAUCUGCCAUGGAAUUUGGUUGGCCGUACCUUUAUUAUUUUAAUGCAGGUUGCAGCUGAAACAAUUGGUCACAAUGGAGGUUAUCCAAUUAACUGCUCUUUGAAGUAAUUUCAGAGAUAAAUUUGAGAAUGAGAAAACCAUGCUCGAAGGUNNNNNNNNNNNNNNNNNNNNNNNNNNNNNNNNNNNNNNNNNNNNNNNNNNNNNNNNNNNNNNNNNNNNNNNNNNNNNNNNNNNNNNNNNNNNNNNNNNNNGUAAGUACACAGGCUCUGAUACCAAUUGAUAUUGCUAAUAUGAGUACCUAGAGAGGGGUGAAUAGGUGCACAAACAAUUUAUCGAAAUACGGAAGCGAUUCUUAGCAUAUGAUAGAAAGGAAAUUCUCUCUUAAUUAACAAAAUGAAAUACGAUCGAGGUAGAGAGAGUGAGGAAGAGAAAAUUGAACACAGGAUUUAUAGUGGUUCGGCUUAUUCCAAGCCUACGUCCACUCUUCCGCACUGACAGCCCACCGGCUGGAUUUCACUAUGAUCAAAAGAGAAGUUACAGCACAGCUUUGCCUUGAUUCCACAGUGUAGAUGUUCUACCACACCUCCUCAAGGUUUCUCACAAAUAUAGACUCUCUUUUGUAUACAAGUAUUCGCUCAAAGGAUUUGUCUAAACAGAAAGGAGCUUCAGACUUUGGAAUUCUUCUAUCGCGCACACCUUGAACAACUAAGACAGUCUUCCUUAUAUACUCCUUUAUGCCAUCAUACCCGUUGGCACUUACCAAAGGAAUUCCUCCAAUCUACCCGUUGGACGGAAUCAAUUAGGAAGAUUGUUCAAGCUAUUAAAGGAACGUGUUGAUAGCCCAUCAAUCCUGUUCGCCCAUACAAUCAGGAUCUCGGUUUCCAUAAGCAGAACCUUCCAAUAAUAAUUAGGCAAUCACCGGAUCUUCAAUUAUCGAGUCAAUCUUCGAUCAAUCAAAGGACUCCGUUAUGUCUUCUCCAGCCACGAGAUCUUCUCCAGUUGAUAAGGUUAAAUCCUUAACGAAACAUCCAGUUCUGGAUAACCUUUCUUCAACGGAUUAGAGACUGUCAAUGAGGAUAGAGUUUGAGUCUUGAGUCUGGCUGUCCGGAGGUCUUCAGACUUUAAAUAGCAGAGUCUGCAAGCCUUCAGACUAGACUGAUAAAAACGUUUUGUCAACUUCAAAACACUUCAAGAAGAUUUCUCCAACAGAUGUUACAUUCCGAACCACCACGUGAACAUCACCGUCAACCUCCCAUCGAGCUAAGAAGCCCCCUGAGCACCACCCCACAGUUGUUACACCACGUCCGGGUCACCAUCAUUGAGCCAAAGCACCAUGAUCGAUCCACUGUGAUCCACAACCGCGAUUCCCGUAUCUAUUCAUCUGAAUUCAAAUUUGGAACGUUGAUAUUUGAAAUAGGUAACGAUCUUGAUGGUUUUAUUAGUGAUGGGCUUAAGGCCCGUCCGCCCAUGUUAGGCCUAAAAACCCAGCCCACAGAAUUAGGGCCCGUGGAUGGAGGGAUGUAUAAAAGGGAGGAGAGAGAGGGAGAACGCACCUUUUGGAAAUCAGAACGUACGUACGUCUCCCUCUCCCUCUCUCUCUCUCCCAAAAGGAAAACAGUAAGGCUCCGGCAACGUUUUUUCUUCCCUUCAACCACGAUUUGGCGUCAUCGGAUCGAACAAGGGCCAAAUUAUCUUCAUCUUAUCGGCGUCGGUGUUUAAUCUGUGGCUAACAAGGUACGCUCGAAUCCGUGGUGUGCUUUAGGAUCGGUGAUACGUGAUUUUCCCGGACUUGUCUUCCGCAUUCGUUUUAGGAGUUCGAUUUAGUGUCGAAUCCGGUUUUCGGGGAUCCGUUAAUUCCCAACAUUGGUAUCAGAGCCCUAGUUCAUGUUUUCCCGACCCUUUUCAUGUUUUUUUGAUUGAUUUUUCGCAAAGAAAUUCGGCCGACACGGAUCGGGGCGAGAAAUCCCGACACCUGAGCACUGUUUGUCCGUUUUUUCGAGUUUCUGUAAGUUGAAAUCGAAUUUUGAUGCCAUGGGGUGAAAGGGCUCGUCGAGACGAGUCCGUCGAUAGGUCGUGCGCCGCCGGGCGACGCCAGACGCGCCCACACGCGUGGCCAGAAGCCACUGCGCGUGGGCGCGACGCGCCCGAAGCACUGGCUCGGUCAACACGUGCGGCACACGCGCCGGUCGGCGAACCGGCACGUGCGCGCCGCCGGCCGGUGAACCGGCACGCGCCAGUCGGUGAACCGACGCGUGCUGACGUCACCGUGACGUCACGGUAACCGCCGGGAUGAUGACGUCAUCGCCGACGACUGUUGGCCAGCCGGUGACCGGCCGGCGACCCGACCCGACCCGCAUGGAAGCUGGCGCAUGCCGCGCACGUGCCGGCUGACGUCUGCGUGAUGUUAGCCCGCGCACGCGUGCGGCACGUGCCAGUCGGUUCGUCCGACCCGGCUCGACCGGUCCGACCGGUCCGUCCGGUCCGACCGGUCCGAUGACCCGGCGACCUGACCGUUGACCCAUUGACCGACGACCAUUGACCAACGACCGUUGACAAAAAAAAAGAAGAAGGGAAAAGAAUGUGUUUCUUUUUCAAUUAAGUCUAUGUGGAUUAUAUGUGAUCCCUUAUUUGUUUUGCAUUUGUUGCAGGAACAGUUCUGCAUUUGUUGCAGGAACUAUGCCUCCCCUCAGAUUGCGCACACCUAUUCGCGCAGUUACCGAUGAACAAAAGGAAAUGCUUUCUAAGUUGAUAGCUGAGCUGACUGAUUAUCGAUGGGAGAGUGGUGACUUAAUUGAUCAUAUCCUUGAAGUCAACGGGAAAAUUCAAAAGGUCAUAUGGAAUGGUCGUCCUAUGUCACAGUUAGAGAUGGUGCGAUUUUUCAUGAACACUCUUCCACCUAAAUGGCAAGAAGUGUUGAAUCGCAUAUGGGAUGUCAACGGAGCUGCUUCAUGUAAGAAAAUUGUGAUGGAUUUUGUAUAUGAAUAUUACUGGAUUAUUACAAGGGAAAAGAUCAAGAAAUUGAACAAAAAAGGAUCUUUCCUAGUUCGUGUGCUGACUUGGUGUUAGUUGUAUUGGCUAAUCUUUGUUAAGUGUGCUUUGUGGACACAUAAUGUAAUGUUUACUACCUUAUUGUUGUUGAUGUAGCAACCGCUAUCUUGGUUGUAUUAGUUGAAAGCAUUAUUGUUUUAUUGGAUGUCAAUUAUCUGUUGCUUUCUGUUAUUGCUGGUUGCUGUGGGUAGUUAGCUAUGGGUAGUUAUAGAAGUUUUUGUAAAUUCAUAGAAUUUAUUUUGCAUAAGACAAUUAUAUUAAUGAUAGUUUUAAGUUAGGAUUUUGGAGGAUGAUUGGAAACAUAGUGACAUUUUGAUUCUGAAGUCUUACUUGAAAUUAUUCAUUAAUAUGAUAGGUCUAUGCAAAUAGGGAUGCAUAAAUGAUAGGCAUUAAUAAUUUGUGCAUAUAUGUCUGAUGUGUUCAGAUCAAUGGCUUCAGCCACAAAGAGCAUAGUUGCCGAGCUGAACAAAGGUAAAAAGCUCAAUGGUGACAACUAUGAAAUUUGGCACAUGAAAAUCCAGUAUGUGCUGGAAGAGCAAGAAGCACUGGAAGCUCUUAACCUGACCAUGGUUAAACCUGAAGAAGGAAACAUUGCACAGCACAAGAGAGAUAAGGAAGCUUUUGCUGCAUGGAAAAGAAAGAACUCUCUUGCUCGCAUCACGUUGCUGAGCAGCAUGGAAAAUGAUGUCAUGCGAGAGUUUAGGCGUUUUGACAAUGCCAAGGAAAUGUGGGAAGCAUUGGCAGCUAGAUUUGGUCAUACUUCGGUGACCAGACUGAGACGGCUCACUAUUAGGUUUGACUCUUAUAAGAAGCCUCAUGGUCAGACCAUGAAGCAAAAUCUUAGAAAGAUGUCAAACAUGAUAAAUGAGCUGAAAGAUGCUGGCCAUGUCCUGACAGAUGAGCAGCAAGUGCAAGCAGUGAUUCGUUCCUUGCCUUAGAGUUGGGAGCAUAUGAAGGUGCACCUGACCCAUAAUGAAAAUAUCAAAACCUUUUAGGAUGCAGUGCGCCAUCUUGAGCUGGAAGAGGACCGCCUUUUGGUGGCUAAGCCGGAUGCUGAACUCUAUCAUGCUAGUUCUAGCUCACAUGGAGCUUCGAGCUCCAAGCGCAAACGCCCUAACUGGUUUGAUAAAGGGAAAGGCAAGGAAGCAGGUCAUUCAGGGAAGAAACCCAAGUUUAACCAACAUGAAAGAGGAAAGCAUCCUCGCAUGAAAAAGCUUGCAAGGGUGAAAUGCUACAACUGUGACAAGAAGGGUCACUAUGCUCGCGACUGUCGUGAGCCAAAGAAGGUAUGCACCCCUUGUACUUUUUAGAACUUUGCUUUUGUGUCGAGUUCAGUAUUCUUCACUGACCCUUCUCCUUUGUUUUGUACAGUUUCCGGAGCGACUUACCAAGUAGCGCAUGAUCGAGGAACCUUCGGGCAAUUCACUUGAGUGAGCUCCUGAUAUGACUGGAUCUAGGUGGGAAACAGCUAUGGACCAGAAAUGAAAGGAAGUCGCACAAGCCAGGGAGCUGUUUCAUCAGUAACCAGCCGAUACAUCAUUCAAUCUUCCCCCCUCAAAAAAUUCGUUAGGAGCUGAUAGGUUCUCUACACUAUGUUUUUUUGAGACUUCCGAUGGAACAACGGCCAGACUUUCCCGCGCUAAGUCAAAACGAAUNNNNNNNNNNNNNNNNNNNNNNNNNNNNNNNNNNNNNNNNNNNNNNNNNNNNNNNNNNNNNNNNNNNNNNNNNNNNNNNNNNNNNNNNNNNNNNNNNNNNGGUUGAUUAUGUCGACAUUUAUUUAUUUCUCUUAUCAAUGUCAAUCUUUAUGACUGAUUCCCUAGACCCCUCAUUUAACCCUGGGCAGCCUCUCUGCCCCUGAUACCUGCAGGUUAUGGUUGCUGGAUUUGGAUGCAAGUUCCAAAAAAUUGGUUGCUACCAAUGUCAAUGUUUGGCGUUGUGAAACCACUUCUUGUCCCAUGGAGCCUGCGAUUCUGAUGCGCUUUAGAAGUGUGGGAGGAACUCUGCUAUGAUUCACCAUUUCUAGUGUUACAAAAGUAUAUCUCGUGAUUAGAGCUUUCUUAAUUUGCUCCGAAAUCUAUGUAGCUGAAUCACUCAACAAAAGGAACUCUGUUUUUGGGGUUCUGUUACCACUGUUGUAGAGAGCUUUAAUCAUUCAUAUGCCUCAAUCUAUUAAAUUCAUCACAAUUAUCUGCUAGAGAGACAGCAUAGUAGUAAUUAUACAAGCCUGUAUGAUAUUCUAUUAGCAUGACCUGUUAGUUCUACGACCAUUCUAGGAAGUUGAAAAGCAUCUCUCCAAAAUGGUUGUUUCCAAGUCUCUACUGGGAAAGAUAGACCUGCCGAUGGGAGUUGUAUGCUUCCAGACAACAAAGGAGAGCAAUGACAUCUUGAACUUGUGGGCUACAAAUUUGGAAAAGCUCCUUGAUCUUGUUGAGGAAAGCUGCCACCAAAUCCACAAGCAAACUAUGGUUCAUAUGGCUGCUUUGCGAGAUAUUCUUAGUUGAAUGAAUGACCUCUCUUCCCUUGAGCCUCCCCCUCUCUUACCAAAAGAGAGAAGCUGAAGAGUGCGGUUUCACAUUGUCCUCUGAAGUGGGGAGUAAAGAUAUCAUAGAACUCUCGUGUAGCUGUCUUAAAUUUGAUAGCAUAUCUUGCAGGUGGACCAGAUCAGGAUUGAAAUGACACAGAAUACACUUUUUGCUUAGGAAUCUAUUUUGGUCUUUUCAUCUUUCCUCUUCCCCCCUCCUUGUAAUUGAAGAUUUUUGGACUAUCAGGGUCCAGAACUUGUACCAAUAGAAUUAGUAACAGAACAAGAUGUGCACUCAUUACAACAAAAGUAAGCGCCUUGUUACCAAAUUCUGUUUCUCUGUACAAAUUCUGCUGGUGUUAAGUGUUUUUCUAACAUCAGGGAUAACAUUAGCUCUCAAAAGUAAAGGCGAGUGAAUGUUAUUUUGUAUUUCAUUUCACAUUUGAAUUUUGUUCAGUAGAGAGCCUGCUUCCUUUGGACUUAAUCUUGACCGUUGGCAGUUCUGAAAGCCUCUUUUUAGGGAGCUUAUAUAUUGUCGAUGGACUUAGCUUUUCUCUAGGAUGAUGUGAUGUCAUUUCAAAAAGACACUAUUGUGAUAUAAUUUCUUUCUAAACUUUUAGUACCGGAAUGUGUUUCAAUGUCAACAAGUUGACAUUUCUCUCUACUCUUGGCAUGUAUGUGGGUAAUAAUACAGUAAUAAGAAGCUAUAUUGAGGAUAAUGUGUUUGUUUUACAACUCUGUUAAGAUUUGGACUUCUGGCUGAGGAAUAGAAACCAUCACAUUUUGCCUAUAAAUCUCGGCAUUUGAUUAAAUUGAUCAAUCAUUUGUUGUCUCAAAUCCCCUUUCUUUACAAGAAGAUGUUAAGGUUUUAAACAUUGGGUCUCAGAGCAAAGUGGGGCAAAAAUGAGUCCUAUAGAAAGCAUCAUAUAGUACUCGAACUUUUAUUUGAUUCAUGGGACAAAUUUAACUGAUGAAUGAAAAAUUGUUUUUGUGCGCGCCUGCGGGGAAGGGGGGGGGGAGUUUGAAUGAAUUAGGAAUUUAAAAUGUUUGUACUGAUGAUAGGUGUCAAAUAUUUAUUUGAUAGCACAUUGAUAGAUAAGCAUCGCUAUUAAUACCUAAUUUUUGGCGGCCCAAUUAGUUGUUUAUUGCAUAAAAAAAAUUUGGGAUUAAUUUUUAACAUCUAAAUAAAAAUAUUAAAAGUAGAUUGCAUAGCAUAUGGUUUUAGGAGCAUUUAUUAUUUAGUUGUUUUUUUUAUUGCAUUUGCAUCGGAUCGGUGAUAGAUGAAUCUGAACUUUAAUUUAGCGAGUCCAGUCCCAUGUUAGUAAUUUUAUGUUAUUGCCAAGAUUUGAUAGUAAAUAGUCGGUCAAGAUUAUGGAAUAUGAGAAGUUGUAGGAGAUGUGGAGCCCAAUAGAGAGGGAGGCGAUUUCUCUGGAGGUCAGCACUGGAACAAGCUCCGGCACUCCUCCAAGGCACGCCUCGUGCCCGACGCAGCACUGCCUGUCUCCUUGCCGCCGCAGUUCAUCAUCCAGUUUUGAUCCAGUCUGAUCUGGUGAAUUUCCGGCAACAAUGAAGCACCACUCGGCGAGUCCUUUGCACGCCACGGCAACCUCCCCGUGGUCUCUUGAUUAAUUCUUUGCAGGUUUCCGGCAAAAUUACAAGCACUUGGCGAGCCCAUCGAGCGAACUACCCGCCAGGCCACUACGCUUCACGCUGUUGUCCCGUUUCUUUAAACCCGACACCACCGCCUGCUGUUUUGUCUGUCAUGCUCGAUUGUUCUUUCACAGGCUGUCCAGAACAAAUCAAGGCCCCUGCAUCAAUCCAGGCGAGUGCAAGACAGCUCCUGUAACGAUGAAUCUUCAUCAUCAUUAGCGGAUUUAAUGAUGCUUUAUGAAUAACGCUUUUUAUAGGUUCCAACGUUAUGGUUGGCGUUGGUGACUUAUCAGCCCAGCAAAUCUCUGAGAAGCUUUGCAGCCCUUUAGCCGUGUUCACUCAAGUUCAUCCGCGACGACUCCCUGCCAUUUGUUGUCCCUUUGCUGCCUGCUUGUUAUAUUUUCGUCCAUAGUCGGCGAACCACUCCCGUUGCAAAUGUGAAGUCCGGUAAAGCCCCAACACCCGCUAGCAAUGACAUUGCUGCUGCUGCUGGUGGUUUUCCGUGUCACGCCCCGAUCCUCCGGGAUGCGCCCAUCCUUCUAUUUGGUUGAUUUUAAAGUGCGAUAUACCAGGACUAAGUAUCGCCGACCCUUUCAUUUUAUUACGCAGGCGGAAGCAAUUAUAAAUCCCCAGACAAUAAAAUAAUGGGAUAGAAAAGCAGGCCAUAUAUUUCAUAUUGAAAUUCACAACCACACUUUCAGUAACAGCACAACUCAUAGUAUAUUUACAAUACCAUUCACAACAUACUUGUCUCACACCUAUCUACACUAAGACAGGGUUUACAAAAAGGAUGGGAUCUCAGUCCACAUCCGGGUUAUACUCAAAAUCCCUCUUUGGAUCAUCUUCUUCUUCAAAAGUCUUUCUUCCCUUCAGGUUCCUCCUCCUCAGCUUCUCCUCAGGGUCCUGAAAUGGUUAUUCAAUAACCAAUGAGACCACGUCUCAGCGAAUUCUACCCCCUAAUACCCAAUUAGUAAGCCAAUACACCUUAGGCUGCCUAAGCACAUCACGAGUCAAAGGACUUACCUUGGCCUCAGCUCCUUUCUGCAAGUUAGUAUAUAUAUCAAAUAUACAUCAUCACAUCACAUCACCCAAUCAGAUCGAAUCAUCGAUCAAUCGACCUAGUCGAUUACAUGUCAUCCAAAUUAUCUCUUGAUCAACCCCUUUCAUACCUUCUAUAAGUCUGAUUAACAUCCAAGACUACUCACCCUUGGUGAUAUAUAGAUAGUAUGUUAUCUUAUCUCCAGACAACAUAUAGAGUCAUCGAGCUAUCAAAUCAUACCGUACUGUCUCAAGAUGAUCUGUAGAAUUAUCGAGUCGGUAUAUCAUACUGUACUGUCUCAAGAUAAUCUGUAGAGUCACCGAGCCGGUAGAUCAUACUGUCCUGUCUCAAGAUGACAUAUUAAGUCACCCAGCCGGUAUACACGCAAUUUAUCAUACCGUACUAUCUCAAGAUGCUCCGUAGAGUCAUCGAGAUCAUACCGUCCUGUCUCAAGAUGCUCCGUGGAGUCAUCGAGCCGGUAUACCGUACUGUCUCAAGAUGCUCCGUAGAGUCAUCGAGCCGGUAGAUUAUACCGUCCUGUCUCAAGAUGCUCCGUGGAGUCAUCGAGCCGGUAUACACACAAUUUAUCAUACCGUACUGUCUCCAGAUGCUCCGUAGAGUCAUCGAGUCGGUAUACAUGUCAUUCCAAGCAAACAAUCAAAUAACUAGUUUUAUCAUUCUCGAUAAAAUGCCAUGAGUGGGUACUCAAUCGGCCCUAGCCAAAAUAUAAUAGUUUCUUUUUUAUAAAUCUCAACAUUUUCUGUAGUCCACUAAAACAGUUUUGGUAUCAUUAACUGAUGCCCGGUUAAUUUCUAAUUAAUUUUCCAAGAUUAUUUAAAUUAGGGAAUAAAUCCUAAAUUCACAAAUAAAUCAUUUCCGCACAAAAUAAAGCUUAAUUAAAUAAACGAACUGCACCAUGACAAUCAGCAUAAAAUUCCGGUCACCGGCCAUCCCGGUUGAAUUUCCGGAAAAAUAAAUAAAUAAUUAAUUAAUUUCGAAAAAUAAAUAAAUAAAUACUAAAAAUCCAAUUUAUGCCCAUAAUGCCUGAUUGGACGCCAGAACGGAUCGGGAAAAAUCCCGAGAUACGUUCAAUAAAUAAUAGAAGCUCUCUACUUGCUAAUGACUAAGUCUAACCACCUAACAUGCAUAAUUAAGUCACUAAUUUAAUUGUUCUAAACUAAUCUAACCACAUAAUUGCACUUAAUUAAAUCUAAUCAACCCUUAGGCAUAAUUAGCAAACUAAGAAAGCAUUAGUGAGUAAAACUCACUUGACAAAAGCGGAGACCGAAUCACCGCGAUGGCGACGCGAUGGCAGCCGAAAUUGGGCUUUCGACAACACCGGCGGGCUUGGACCGGGCCUUGGACUGAACUUGGGCCUGAGCUUGGGCUGACUUGCUUCGCGGGCUUGGGCUUCAAGAUUGGGCUGCUGAAUUGGGCCUCAAAUUACUGGGCUGAUCUUGCUUUAAAGAAACUGUUGGGCUGAUUUCUUGUGGGCCUGACUUUGUUUGGGCUUCAAAUGGCGUGGGCUCAAUGAAGCUGCUGUUCACUUGGGCUACGAUGUGGACUACAAUUAGGCUGAAGACACGGGCUUGAAUCAAGCUGGGCCACGACAAUUUCGUGUGGGCUGCUGUACGCUUGUCUUCGGAUGAGAUGGACUCGGACGAGAUGACCGAUCGAAGAAGCAGCAAAGGCUGCUGUUGGGCCACGAAAAUUGAAGACCAACGUUGCUGGAGAAGGCGGUUUCGCUGGCAGCUUACUUCGGCAAGGAAAUCCACGGAUACGGGGUCAACGACGAGGAAAGCAGCUGGAUUCUUGGCCGCGUGGAGUGAAGAUCGGUGGGGGAGUGAGAGACGUGCGCAGAGACGAGCAGAGGUGGGAGCUUCGAGCGGUUUGCUGGUCAACAACCGACAGAAGGGGCAGCUUCGGUUGACUUGCUUCGAUGAAGCUAGAUACGGAGGAGUCAACGUGGCUGAGGGAGCUCACUUGCUGGUUGACUCGGCAGGAAACAAAGCUUAGUGGAGGAUGGGCGUGGGCUGCAGAGCAGCGAAGCGGUGGAGCUGCAGGUGAUGGCUUCGGUCAACAGAACAUGGAGUCAGUCUCGAUGGAAGACUUCGCGCGGAUGGAGGAACACGCGGACGCUGUUGUUGCUGGGGAAACUUCGAUCGUUGCUGGACACGCACAACCCCGAAAGAAAAAGAAGGGCAGCUGGCGUUGGGCUUCGUGGGCGUGGAGAUGCAGAGGAGUCAACUUUACUGGGGUUUUCUUUUCUUUGAUUGACCAAGGAAGCUAGGUAAUGGGACGUGUGGCAAGAAGGGAGUUCGGUGGAGAUGGGAUCGCACGAAAAUAAAACUAUUGGACUGCUCGGUGGAAAGAAAUAAAAUGAUGGUGUUGAGUGCAUGAAAAAGGAAAGAAGAAGCAAGUGUGCGAAGGAGGAGGAGUCGUGCACGAAGAGAUGAAGACCGGCAGAGCUUGUCCAACAAGCUGGAUGAGAGAGAGAAAGGCCAAAAAGUCCAAAAUCUUAGUCAAUGUCUUAAAUGCUUGGUCCCCUUAUCUCCUCAUACUUAUCCCCUUACCCAAUAAUACUUUCCAACAAAUAUAAGUCCACUAAUUAACUUGAUUUGAAGCCAAAAUUCCAGCUCUAUUUAAAGCUCCGAAUUUUCAAUUUCCGGACUUCAAUAUCUUCGACUAAUUCUCCGUUCAACGUCCAAUUUAGCCAAGGAAAAAGCCCAUAUGAUUUUCUGUAAGUGCCCAUCGCCAGAAAGCUCGGCCUGAAAGUCAAAACUCCUUAAAAUUUCGGCCCGUACGAAUUUCCGUUAAUUUUCCGCUACGUCCGAUUCGAUUUUCCGCAAAAAUCUCAUAAUCUCUUAAAAAUCUUCUGAGACUGAGUCGACGUUCUUAAAUUAGCUCGUGACACCACAUAACUUUCAAUUUCUGAAACCGGGUUCGAAUUCAUGGUUAAUUUCCAUUCGACGCGUUUUUAGCGUGACCUAGACUACCGGGUAACUUUCAGAACCUUUCAGUGCAAAUGACCCGUGGUCGAUUUUCUUCGAGCCACUAUGAACCCACUUGACUCAUUGGCGACUUUCGAUUGUCGUGAAAAUCUCGAGAAUUCAAGUACGGACACAGGGUACCAAAACGAUAAGAAAAUCAGUUUAGUGUUGGUCGACGAGAAUUUUCCAAUUUAGUGGUGUCACCCACGAUUAGCCACACAUCUCAAUCGAACCAACAUGUAUAUGAUCUCAAAUCAAUUUAUAUCUGUGCCGUAAUGGUCUUGACAGAUGAGCACGGUCGAGAAGUCGAUUCAUGGUCGAAUUCUCAAGUCUAUUUGCCUUAAAAUUCUUAAUGGCUUUUCCAGAUAGUCUAGUUAUCUCGAGAGUGAUCAGCUCUGAGAACAACUCUAUAGACACGUCAAUGAAAUGCCCGAUUGAUUCAGUAGAAAACAUGGUCGAAAAUCUGGGAUGUUGAUAUUGCUAGUAUGAGUACCUAGAGGGGGUGAAUAGGUGCACAAACAAUUUAUCGAAAUACGGAAGCGAUUCUUAGCAUAUGAUAGAAAGGAAAUUCUCUCUUAAUUAACAAAAUGAAAUACGAUCUAGGUAGAGAGAGUGAGGAAGAGAAAAUUGAACACAGGAUUUAUAGUGGUUCGGCUUAUUCCAAGCCUACGUCCACUCUUCCGCACUGACAGCCCAUCGGCUGGAUUUCACGAUGAUCAAAAGAGAAGUUACAGCACAGCUUUGCCUUGAUUCCACAGUGUAGAUGUUCUACCACACCUCCUCAAGGUUUCUCACAAAUAUAGACUCUCUUUUGUAUACAAGUAUUCGCUCAAAGGAUUUGUCUAAACAGAAAGGAGAUUCGGAUUUUGGAAUUCUUCUAUCGCGCACACCUUGAACAACUAAGACAGUCUUCCUUAUAUACUCCUUUAUGCCAUCAUACCCGUUGGCACUUACCAAAGGAAUUCCUCCAAUCUACCCAUUGGAUGGAAUCAAUUAGGAAGAUUGUUCAAGCUAUUAAAGGAACGUGUUGAUAGCCCAUCAAUCCUGUUUGCCCAUACAAUCAGGAUCUCGGUUUCCAUAAGCAGAACCUUCCAAUAAUAAUUAGGCAAUCACCGGAUCUUCAAUUAUCGAGUCAAUCUUCGAUCAAUCAAAGGACUCCGUUAUGUCUUCUCCAGUUGAUAAGGUUAAAUCCUUAACGAAACAUCCAGUUCUGGAUAACCUUUCUUCAACGGAUUAGAGACUGUCAAUGAGGAUAGAGUUUGAGUCUUGAGUCUGGCUGUCCGGAGGUCUUCAGACUUUAAAUAGCAGAGUCUGCAAGCCUUCAGACUAGACUGAUAGAAACGUUUUGUCAACUUCAAAACACUUCAAGAAGAUUUCUCCAACAAUCUCCCCCUUUUUGAUGGUGACAAAACUUUCCUGCAGAUUUGGAUAUCUUUGACCUGCAAAACAUUUCUCACACAUAUGCAUAUCUUAUAGAGAUAAAUGGCUAACAGAAUAACACUAGAAUCUGCAACCACAGAAAAUAGGUUAGUUAGUAUAUGAUGAAGCCAUUCAUAAGAUAUCAAUAUUGGUUAAUAGAAGCAGUCAAGUCCAAGUCUAGUUCAGUUCUCAUCCAGACACAAACCAAAGUCAAACAGAUUCAAACCACAAAACAAUCCAACAAACAAUUAAAAGUUUAAUGAAAAGUUUUUGAUCAAAUCUUGCAUCUCUCCCCCUUUUUGUCAUCAUUAAAAAGGAUGAGAUGAAGUCAAGAUUGCUUGGGAACGCGGACAAGCUGGAAAUCUUCCAUAGACUGAACGAUGCCUUCCAGCCUUUUAAAGUCUUCCUUUAGCUGUGCAAUCUCCUCACUCUUGGCAUUGGCCUGAUUCUGAACAAAGAGGGCUUGCAUCUUAUCAUUCAAUGAACAGGAAGAAGCUUGACCUUCAUUCUUCAAGCCUUGAACUUCGCAUCCCAAGGCAUAAAUCUGACCUCGCAUCUCCAAAAGAAUAUCCAUGAUUCUACGAAAAUCUGCUCCAUUAUUAGUUUGAGUACUUGCUUCGGCUCGAUCUGAUGGAGUAAAUGCAGACGAUGGUAGAUCAACAAAAUCUUGCAGGUUUGGCGAUGAAACUUCAUGACCUUCCUCUGGAAACUGAGAUGCAUAAACAUCCUCUGGGUCUGCUGGUGAGCGACUGACUCCUUCACUUGCAUCAGGACAUGAAGACUUCACACCUUUCUCCUGAUCUCCCCCUGUUUCAAUGCCUACAGGUGGAGAAGAGUGUUCUUCAGGUUCUCCUUCUUCUCUUCUUUCUUCUUCAGGUCUUUCCUCCUCUGUUUCUUUUUCAGCUUCUAUUUCUUCUUCUUCCUUCUCCUCUGCUUCUUUCGUCAUUUGUUCCGAUUCUUUCUGAGGAACAGGAUGACUUAAAUUCUUCAAAGCCAAUGCAGAGAUGGUGAUGUCUUCCUCAUCAUCUUCAUCCUCAACAAGGAGAGCUCUUCUUCUCUUGGAUGGAGCAACCAUGGGCUCCUUCCCUUUUCUUUUAGCUGCAGAAGAUAUUUGAUGAGAUUUUGCAGGAGUCUUCUCCUUGAAUUUCUCCAACUCCUUGCUCAGUUCCUUCAGACGCAUUUUGGUCACCAUUUUCAGACCUACCACCAUAUGAUCGCAUGGUCGAACACAAAAGAUUUGUGGAGGCUGAAUAUUCAGAUGUCUGAAUAACUUCGUAACAAGGCUUGGGUAAGGGAGUUGACCUCUGUCCUUCAUCAUUGCUCUAUACAUGUGAAACAUCACAGUGUGAGGGAGAGAAAACCUUUUUCCAAAGAGAAUGGCAUACAUCAGCUUGGCCUCUGAACUUGAAACAUCAGUCUUGGAAGUUGAUUUCGGUCGGAGGCAAUUAAUCACAAUCUUAUGAAGCAAGAUGUUGAAUGCACCCAUCCUUAAGUAGGUGAUCUUUUCAUCUGUUCUCCUGUCCUUCACCAGUUCAAGUGUGGCCCGAGCAAUGGAAACUUUGAUUGGCUGAUAUCUUCCUCUUUCUACUUCUAACACAUCUACCAGCAUAUUCAUAUCCACAACAUAGUCUUGGUCUUUAACGCUGAAAGAGAAUCUAUUCGCAUCUAAAAAGCUUAGAUUUGAAUAGAAAUAUGCAGUAAAUUCAGCAUAUGCCUCUGUAGAGUCAGAGCAGAACUUUUCAAGUUGAAGAUAACUGAACUUUUCCCUCAAGUUCAUAUUCAUAGCAUCUAGAAAAUCAAAAUAACACUCCUAGGGUUUAUUACCCCACGCUUUAGCAAUUUCGAGUACACAUCCUUUUGCUCCUUAGAUCUGAACAAAUCUCCCCUUUUUCCUUGAUUUUCAACCGCAACACCCAUUUUUGGUUGAAAUUGACUGUAUAAUUUGUCAUCAUCAUUCCCAUCUACAGGAUUCGGCCCCCAAUCACGAGGAUCACUUGGGAUAUUUGCAAGGGUUUUCUCAGCCACCCCUUUUCGAGCAAUUCCCAAACUUUCCAUUUUUUCAGAAAGAUAUAUUCGUUCCCAUGUCCUUUGUCUUUAAGAAACUCAUCAAUGUAGUUCAAAGGAGCACGAAUUCCUUUUAGGGCACGAUAUAACUGGUAAAUAUAAGCGGGCUUUUGAACUCUUACAGGGUCUGCAUCCUCGAUGAUUUCUUCCUGUUGUUGAUGAUCAACGCCUUGAGGACUAGAUGGAGGAGAAUGACGCUGUUGAGAAUGUUGUGGGCUCGCUUGCUGUUCUGGAGUCACUUCAUCUUCAGUAAGAUCGAAGUGCGUAGGCCCCUCACUCAUCCGCCAUGGUCCCCUGCUUGCGAUUCUUGAGAACUUUCUUGAAGAUGACAUCUUUCUCAGUUUUUGGAAGAUUCCUUGCUUGACUUUCCUAGGAAAGAUGACAACUUUUUGAGGAUUAAACGAAGAAGACAAACGGGAAUGGAGGAUCGAUGCUUUCUAGGGUUUUUUGAGAGAAAAGUGAAGAGGAAUCGACAGUGCACGAUCGGUUAAAAAGAGAGAUAAACGAACCAUCACAAAGGAAAUAAAAAUAUGCCUUUUCAAAAUAACUGUCUUUUUCCGCAAAAAUAGCCAUUUCAAAAAUAACUUCAUUUUUGAAAAUGAAACGAUGCAAUAUUUACGUCAAUUAAAUAUAGCAACAAUUUAAGCACAGUCUGACGAUCGUACCUUUUCAAGAUGAGAUUCAAGAGAGAAAGAUUUAUAGUCUGACGGACGUACCAAGACUGUCUUUCAGAUAAAGUCUUGUAAGUCUAAGUCUGAAAGUCUUUAGACUUUGAUAUCCUCAUACCUCAAAAUGUUGAGUCUGGAACGAAUAGACUCAAAUUGAUUUUUCUCCAAAGGCUUUGUGAAUAUAUCCGCCAGUUGAUUCUUUGAGUCAACAAAUUGAAUUGAAACAUCCCCAUUUUGAACAUGGUCUCUAAUAAAGUGAUGUCGAAUCUCCAAAUGCUUUGCUCUUGAGUGGAGAAUUGGAUUUUUGGUGAGGUUGAUAGCGCUGGUGUUGUCGCAAUUAAUCUCCGUGCAUGAGUCUUCAAUUUCAAAGUCUCUUAGCUGUUGUUUUAUCCAUAGAAUUUGCGAACAGCAGCUUCCCAGGGCUACAUACUCUGCUUCUGUUGUUGAAAGAGACACAGUGCUUUGUUUCCUUGAAAACCAAGACACUGUCCUGCUUCCAAGCAACUGGCAGGUUCCCGAAGUGCUUUUUCUAUCAACUCUGCAACCGGCCAGAUCUGCGUCUGAAUAUCCCAGAAGAUUAAAGUCUCCUUUCUUAGGAUACCAAAGACCGAUGCUUGAUGAUGAAGCCACGUAUUUAAUGAUGCGUUUCGCAGCACUGAGAUGGGAUUCUCUAGGAUCUGAUUGAAACUUAAUCUGUCAUACCAAGCUCGAGGUGCUUGCUUUAAACCAUACAAAUCCUUUUUCAGUCUGAAGACUCAGUCUGGGUUCUUUGGGUCUUCAAACCCUGGUGGUUGUUCCACAUAAACUUCCUCUUGGAUAAAUCCAUUUAGGAAGGCGUUUUUGACGUCCAUUUGGAAUAACCUGAAAUUCUUAUAACAAGCAAACGCAAGUAAUAGUCGAAUAGCUUCUAACCUUGCUACUGGAGCGUAAGUCUCAUCAUAGUCUAUCUCCUUCUUCUUGCGUAUAUCCCUUCNNNNNNNNNNNNNNNNNNNNNNNNNNNNNNNNNNNNNNNNNNNNNNNNNNNNNNNNNNNNNNNNNNNNNNNNNNNNNNNNNNNNNNNNNNNNNNNNNNNNGUACGACCGGAUGAUUUGCGGGCAUGACAUGGCAUGGAGAAAUCUAGUUGGAGAAAAUCAUUCUGAAAUAGAUUUAUUUUGAGAGUUACUUCCCUAGAUGAAUCACUUUCGAUGAAUAAAUAGUAGUUAGACUGUGCAUAGAACAAAUUCAUGCGUCCGCAGGACAUCAACAAAAUCCUCGAGGACAGAGGGAAUCUCUUGUGAGCACAAGGAGCAUGGCAGCAUUAGCUUUUUUUUCUAGGAGAAAGGGAAUCUCUGGUUAGCACGAGAAGCGUGGGAGCAUUUGCUGGUUAGCUUUCUUUUCUAUUAUUUUUAGUAAUAGAAAAGGCCAGCCAAGUCAAGACAGUGCCAGAUCUCAGAUCUCAAUGAAAGCACCGUCCGCAUGUACUGCUGAGAUCACGACAGGAGCAUGCGAGUAUUGUUCCUUAGUUUUCUCUUCUAUUUUCGUUCAUCAAUGUAAAGAGGCAAGUCAAGUCAAGUCGCGCUGGAUCUCGAGCUUCGAUCAAAAGCACCAGGAGCAUGUGAAAGUUGCACGUUGUUGCAUGUGAGUAUUUGCUCGUUGGGUUCCCCAAGAUGCUGCGGAAAUUAUGCGUGCAAUGACUGUUCUUUCCAAGGCACGCCUCACGGCGAUUCGAAUAGGAUGAAGAGUCUUGUACCGUUUUGGGAAUAUUCUAAGAUUUAGAAGAGAGAGGAAAAGAGGAUUAGUAAUAACUACAUCUCUACUCAAUUGGCUUCCCUUUACACUUUAUUAGAUAAUGGUAUUUAUACCCACACAAUGUGCCUGGGAAAUGAAAUAAUCUAAUCCAACAAGGAAAUUGAUUGUCUUAGAAAAUAAUGAAAGAAUAAAUAAUAUCCUUAAUAUCUAAUAAUAUCUCUAAAAAUAUUCUUUAAUAGGGAAAUCUCUAAUUUCCAUUUACAUACUUCAUCCCGUUGUUGUUGUUAGGCUUGGUAGAUCAUUGCCGUGCCAGAGAACAUGUGGGUUCAACGACAUUGUAGAUUCAUUCAAAGGUCUCAAAGUCAUUAGUUCGAGUUAAAGUGGACUGCAAAAUGCAUGUGAACGAAUUCGAAAAGUACACUUGUAGGAAUAAACCAGGUGGAGACGAUGUCAGGGCCAUCCAUGAAAUAUUUGAGUCGUAGGGACCAAAAUAUUUUAGAAAUUUGUGGCAUAAGUUUUGUUAUAUUGAUGCCAUUUCAUUAAUAACUUAGUUGGAUCUUGAGGAGAAGCUUCAAUGAUUGGACUUAUAGCUCAAGACCUAUAGAUGGACGUAAGUGAUCGCCAACGCAUUUUCUAGGAUUGCCUUUUCCACAUUUUUUUUUUUUUUUGAAUUUCCACCUCUUUUAACAAUAUUAUGGAAAAUGAAUGAGAAUAGGGGGGACUUUAGGAAUUCAAAUUGUUUGUAUUGGUAUUAGGUGUCAAAUAUUUAUCUAAUUCGACACUACAUGUGUUUAUGCGGUACACCAUUAGAUAAGUAUCACACAACUCAUGUCAACAUGAUUCGAGUUAAAUCCAUGAAGACUUAAGCGAACCAUUAUCAAAGCUGACAAUAUUUUAUCUAGUGACAACAAGGCUCAGGUGGAGUUUCUUGGCACAACAAUGUAAGAACUAGGAUCGGGAUGUUGAGCGUUUGAUCGGUGUUGGCAUUUGGUAUAACUCUUGUUUAUAAUUUUUUUUUUUUUUUUGGUGACCCAAGAUCUGCUGAGCUCAACUUUCGCUUACGCUAAUCGCCAACCCAUGGCCCGUACAGUGCGCGGUGCACCUCGGACCAAGCGUCAAUACCUAGGGAUAACUCUUGUUUAUAAUUGAUACUACUAAUUAUCCAUAUAAUCAUAACCCUAAAUUGGGGCUAUGCAUUUCAUAAAUUCUGUACAUCUCUAAUUAAAGGAAUCUGUUUGGACCUUGUCGUAGGACAUGUGAUUGUGAUCGUACAAUUUAGACUUCAAGCGUCAAGGGUUUUUUUUCCAUGUGUUGAAACUUUCAACUCCAGAUUGCUUCUGAAUUUGUGUAUCGUAUGACUUAUUGAGUUGUCGUUUCUUUUUUUUCUUUUUUUCUUUUUUCUUUUGGGCGGAUAGCGAGCAUACUGGGGUUCCUUCUCAAAACACAUGAUCAGGUGAUAUUAUGUUUAAUUUUAAUGCAUUUACUUGUAAGCUUUUGAUUCUAGAAUAAUGAGGUGGGGUUAGUCACUUACGUACUAAGCUGUUGAGCUUUUUUCAUGGCCGCUUAUCAUUUCGGAUUCUGAAGAAGCUUACAAGGCUAGAGAAGAAUGUUCGUAGUUAUGAGUAAAGAAGUUAGUAUCUGCUCUUACCUCAGGAGGUUUUAUGAGCUAAGCUGGUUUUCAGAGUAGAAAAAAAUAAGCAAACUAUAUAGCUAUAAUACCCUAGGUGCCAAAGUAAUCACACGUUGAUCUAGUGUUUAAUGCAAUCUCUCUUCAUUUAAUAGCUUCAGUCUUUCAAAUCACAUCUUCUAAUGCUAAAUAAGCUAAUGUUUGAAUACUCCUCUAUUGGGCUGCGAAAAAUCAUAUUUCGAUGAAGAACCCGUUGGCCGAGAAUGUCAGCAUGAGACAAAAAGUCCGACAAAAGAUUACAUAAAAAGGAAAAAAGAAUCACCGAAUAAUUAUUCGAUUACUGAAUAUUUUUUCGAUUACGGAGAACUGUUGGCCGAGAUUAAUGCAGCACCGAAAGAAUAAAAUCAAUGUAAAAUGUUAAAAUUAUUAAUUUAAGGAGAGAGAUAAAAGAGUGACUUGGGUGGAGGGUAGUGACUAAAUAAUCUUUAAGCAUGAUAUAGCAUGGAGAAAUCUAGUUUGAGAAAACCGUUUUGGAAGAGAUUUAUUUUGAGAGUUACUUUCCCAGACGAAUCUCUUUCACGAAAUAAAUGAUAAUCAGACUGUGGAUAGAACAAAUAUAUGCAUUCCCCAAACUUUCAUUAAAAAUAAUCCUCGGGGACCAACCGAAUCUCUUGUCCGCACAAGGAGCAUGGGAGCAUUGCCGGUUUGUUAUAUUUUCUAUGUUGUUUACUGAUAAAAAAGUCCAGCCAAGUCAAGACAGCGCUGGAUCGCAAAUCUCAAUGAAAGCACCUUCCGCAUAAUGCUCAGCAUCGGUGCAGAUCAAAUCACAGCAGGAGCAUGUGAGUAUUGCUCGUCAGUUAUCUUUUCUAUCUUUACUUAUUAACAUGCAAAGCAGAGCCGAGUGACGAUGCAUGUGAGCACGUGCUCACUUGCUCGUUGGGUUCCGCAAGAUGCUGCGGAAUUUACGCGUGCAGUGUCUCUUUCUCUCUUUUCUUUUUUUGCGGCAUGCCUCACGGCGGUUUGAUUAUUAUGAAGAAUAUUGGACCAUUGGAUGGCAAUAACUCAACAUUUUUCAAUAGAAAUGAGCGCGUUAUCAAUGAAUUCUGUUUCACAUUACAAAAUUUACUGUUGCUUGUGUUUUUUUAACAUCGGAGAUAACAUUAGCUCUCCAAAGUAAAGGCUUAAUGAAUGCUACUUUUCCAUUUCAUUUCACAUUUGAAUUUUGUCUUUGGCCGGAAAUUGGACCCAAUCUUGGUUGUUGGCAGUUCUAAAAACCUAUUCCUAGGAAGCUUCAUUUAAAUAAGACAACGUUACUUUUAUAUCCUCAUUCAUCUCCAAGCUGAUGUCGUGAUGUCAUUUCAAUAAGAAACUUUGUUGUGAUGUUAUUUCUCUUUGAAGUUUCUAUUGCGAGAAUGUGUUUGGUGUCAACUAGUUAUGACAUCUCUCAACUCUUGGUAAGUAUGAGGAUAAUGUGUUUCUUCGACAACUCUACUAAGAUUUGGACUUGAUGGAGGUUCUCUUUACGUAGUCUCUUCCCAUUUGCAUUUUACUAUUGGUGGUUCCAAAUGGCAACUUAGAAUUAUUUCUUUGUCUAAUUUGUUUUCUCUUUUAUCCUCUAAUUGGCAAAUUAUAGAAAUCAUCACACAUUCCCCAUUAAUCUCCACAUUUGAUUGAUAUCAUCAAUCGGUUGUUAUCUGAAAUCUCUUUUCUCUACAAAAGAAAUAGGAUUUGAAUAUCUGUCAUAGAGUGAAAUGGGAAAAGAGUGACUCCUAUGGGAACCAUUGAGUAGUUCUUGAACUUCAAUUCAUUUCAUGGAACAUGUCUGAAUGGAACGAAAACAAAAAUGCUUCGCCCCUUAAGUCUUCUAUUACAUUUUUAUGCAAAUCUCAAAGUCUAGAAAGCAUUAGCUGAAUGGCAGACCCUCAAGGAAGGAUGAGAAGCAACUUGAAUGAAAAGUUAUCUUGUUUUCACUCUGAAAACUCGUUACAUCAUUAAUAUCGGUGUCUGGAGCUUUGGAUACUUCUUCUUCUUUUUUACUUACUUUUUGCAAUUUAAUUGUACAAAAAAGCUCACGUUGAGGACGGCAGUCCAAAGUUGACAUAAGUGCAAAUAAUAUAGAUGAGAAUUGCACAAUUAUGUACAGUUGAUUAGGAACAUCGUGUUGAAUGCCUUUUCUAAUUUUACAUUUGAGUUAAUAGAAGAGUCGUCCCGAGUAGUAAAUUUCUGAUCAAGUCGAAUUCGAGAAAUUUUAUCCAUAAUCCUAUAUACUAGCAAUAAUGAACCCUCUAUGUUGUUGGAAUUCAGACAUCACUGCCAUACCCGGAGAACAUUUGGGUACAUCCGACAUUGUAGAUCGAUUUACAGGUCUCAAAGUUGUAAGUUUGGGUUAAAGUAGUGUACGGGAAGGAAUUUGAAAAGUACUCUUGUAAGAAUGACCAAGGUAAAGCCAAUGUCGAGGGCGUUAAUAAACAAAAAUUUGGGAUGGACGGACCAAAUUAUUGACGUUUUCCGUUAAUUAUUUAUCUGGACCUUGGGAAGCCUCAAUUGCUUUCAUUUACAGUUUGAGACCUAUGGAUGGAUAUAAGUGAUCGCUGACUCAUUUUCAUUGCUUUGUUUUCCACGUAUUUUUCAAAUUUCCAAUAUUUUGGAAAAAGAAUAAAAAAUAAGGGCAAAUUAGGAAUUCGAAGUGUUUGUCGAUUUUAGGGGUCAGAUAUUUAUCUCAUUCCACAUCACCUAUACUUGAAUUGUUGCACUGGUGAAUUAGUAUUGUACAAACUCAAAUCGACAUGACGCAAUUUAAAGCUGUCCAGACGUGAGUGAACCGCUACCAAAGCUGUGCAAGCGUGAUAGCAAGGCUUGGGUCGAGUUGCCUAAUACAACAAGAUUAGAAUCGGGACUAGGAUGUUGGGUGUCGUAUCUGUGUUGGCAUGCUAUGCUAUUUUUUCUAUUGCCAAUUAAUACUAUCUACAACAAGAUCUUCAACUAAUCAAAUCAAAUCGUGGCAUUUGGUAUAUCUCUUGCUUAUAGUAGAUAGUAUCAUGAUCCUUAGUUGGGGCUAUGCAUUUCAUGCGUUCUGUAAAUCUUCAAUUAAAGUAAUAGUUUGGACCUUGUCGUAGGACAUGUGAUUGUGAUCCUACAAUUGAGAUUUUGAGAGACAAGAUUUUACCUAUGUAUCGAAACUUUUUUUUUGUAAUGCCAAGGAUCCGGCCUAACUCAUCGGCCUAGUUCACAUUCGAGAGCACAACACCAACUAGACCUCGAGAGAAAUUAGCCCAGCAACCCACUGUCGGGGCUCCCUGCUUAAAUCACGGAACUAUUUUGAGAGUUGUGACAACUCAGGGAGUCAAACCCUUGACCUGGUGCCAAAUCAGGAGGUAUGCCUCAACCAGCGCAGCCAUGCGUGGGUGGGUUAUGUAUCAAAACUUUUAAUUCCAAGUUACUUCUGAAUUUUUGUAUUACAUAACUUAUUGGAUUUUCUUUUCCUUCUCUUUUUUGGAAAGCGAGCAUAUAGGAUUUCCUUUUCAAAUCACUUGUAGAUCAUGAAGUAUAACGUUCAAUUUUAAUCUUCUUACUCGUAAGUUUUUGAUCCUAGAAGGAUGGGUUCCCCAAGAUGCUGCGGAAAUUACGCGCGCAGUGAGUGUUCUUUCCAAGGCACCCCUUACGGCGAUUCGAAUAGCAUGAAGUAUUGUUGAAUUACUAUUCAAUUACAGAGAUUUGUGAGCCGAUAAUUUACUAACGUGACACCGAAAGAAUAAAAUGGAUGUAAAAUGUAAAAAACUAUUUAUUUAAGGAGAGAGAUAAAAGUGGCUUGGGGGUAGGGUAAUGAUUUGAUAAUUUUUAAUCACAAAGUAGUGUGGAGAAAUCUAGUUUUAGAAAAUUAUUUUGAAAAAGAUUUAUUUUAGUGUUACUUUUCUAGACAAAUAAAAAGAAGGUUAUGCGUCCUGAAGACUUUUAAUAACAAAAUCCCACGAUUGAUAUGCUUUUGUCAUUGGCUCAUGUAUAUUAGCGGCAUAUUAGAGAAUGAAAGCAAGUCAAGUCAAGAUAAUGAAAGCCCAUAGAUAGGUUCCAAGCUAGGUAGCAUGGACACAGUGUCAUGGACACGCGACGCGACAUGACACGACACGACAUGCGACAAAUCAUUUUUUAAAAGGUAGAGAAUUUCGAUACGUUUCGACACGUUAAGUAUUAAAUAAAUAUUUUUAUAUAUACUUGAUUAAUUAUUAUGUUUAAAUUAAUUUAUUCAAAUUCAUAAAUAAAUAAAUAAUAAAUAAAAUCUAUAAUAAAUCUAUACUAAUAACAUGUAUUAAUAAAGUUAUUCAACAUACGCAAAAGCUCUCGAUCCGUUUCUCUCAUCGUCUUGAAAAGAAAGAGCGAACUUUUACAGAAUUAAUAAAGUUAUUUAAUGUUUAAUAUUUCUUUUUAGGGUUAAAUGGUCCCAUCCAUUUAUUUCCCCCAACCCACCCACCGCCUGCACACGUCUCUUCCCAAAGUCACACUGCACGAGUGUUUCUUUUUUCCCCAAGAAGCCGUCGACACAUCCUCUCUCUCUCCUUGCUCUUCUUCCUAAAAUUGAAAACCCUAGCAAUUGGCGAUCGCCUUCCGUCUCCUCCCCCUCGCUCGGUCUCCACCUCUCUCACCGCUGCCUCGCCUCCGUUCCCCCCUUUGCCGUCUUAGCCUCGCAUCCAGCCCUCCAUCACGGCCUUUCCGUUUCAAAUCUCGGCUUUGCAGUCGGCGGUCGCAGCCAACCAAGACGAUCGAGAAGGCUUCUCAGUGUUGCAGUCGGCGGUCGGAGCCCUCCCUCGUCGUCGCUCGCGGCGUCGCCUCAGUUCCCUCACCCUUGCCUUCACCCUCCGUCACUUUCUUCCCUUCGCACCUGCGGAUCCGCCCACAAACCUCCGGACACGCGCGUCGGAAAGAGUUGACCACGUGUCGGAAACUUCGACACGUGAUAACCGCGUGUCCGAGCGUGUCCGACCGUAUCCGAGCGUGUUGGAUAGAUACGGAGGCCCUCUGAACGUGUCCGUGCUUCCUUGGCUCCAAGCACAGCAGGAGCAUGUGAGUAAUGCUCGUCAAUUCUCUUUUCUACUUUUUCUUAUUAAUAUAAAAGGCAAGUCAAGUCAAGUCACGAUGCUGCGGAAAUUACGCGUGCAAUGAUAGUUCUUUCCGUGGCAUGCCCUGCAGCGAUUCGAUUAGCUUGAAGAGUCUUGGACCAUUGGAUAGCAAGAACUCAAACAUUCUUCAAGCACACAUGGAGAAUGUUUUGUGUCGGUAAUCCAACUUCAAAGGCUGAAAAUCGGAGGAGAUCCCGAGGCUCUGUUGUUUGAGCAUUCGUCAGGUAGUCGACAACGUCUUACUCUUUCUCCGUUUCCUGUUCUGAUUGCUCCAUUUUCUUUUGAUGAGUUAUGUAAGAGUUUCUAUUUUUGUUUGAAUGUAGCUUCGAGUUUGACUACCGAGAGACAUUUCUGCUAUUCCCAGAUCUGGGAUUUUGUGUAUCUCUCCUCCGUUUCCUACUCCAUCAGUCUCUUUUAAAAUCCUCUUGAGAUGAAAAGAAGAGAACCCACUCAUUCAAAAGAUUCGAUCUACGAGGCGUCUUCCUCAUCAACCUCUCCACUUUUAGGUGAUUAUGAAGGAAAAACUAAAAGGCCAAAAGGAAAUUACUACGAUGUGUUCUUGAGCUUCAAUGGGAAAGACACUCGCAAAAGGUUCACCGAUCAUCUCUAUGAAAGGCUUGUCAAGGCGAAAAUUUGUGUGUUCAGAGACGACGAUAAGCUCCCUGUUGGUGGGAAGAUUGGUCCGGAACUUCUUCGCAGCAUUAGGCAGUCCAAGAUCUCGAUUCCGAUUAUCUCCACGAACUAUGCUUCUAGCAAAUGGUGCCUUCGGGAGCUAGCUUGGAUGUUGAAGUGUAAGAGAAGCGGAGGGCAUAUAGUGUUGCCCAUCUUUUACAACGUGAAUCCCUCGCAUGUGCGCCAUCUUACAGGAAGAUUUAGAAAGGGUAUCGAGGCACAUAAAGAGACAGUAUAGACAGUAUAGACGAAAAGAUUUUGAAGGAAUGGAAAAAAGCGCUCAAAGAAUUGAAGGAAUGGAAAGAAGCACUCCAAGAAGUUGGUUCUUUGAAAGGGUGGGAAUCUAAGAAAUAUAAAAACGGGUACAUUAUUCUCAACCAAAUCGUUGUUUAAUUUCUCACAAAUAGAUUUUUUUUUUUUGAAAAAGGAUAUAAAAUAAAUAUAUAUCCCCUCAUAUGCUGAAAUUCAUUGUUAUUUGAUAGGCAUGAAGGAGCAUUGGUCGAAGAAAUUGUCAAAAUUGUCAAAAAUGUUCUGAAUGAGUUGAGAAGAACUUCUCAGAUAAUUGUUCCCCAACAGUUGGUUGGAAUUGAUGACCGUAUCGAUCUAAAGGAUUUAAAAAGAACUUUUCAGCUAAUCGUUCCCCAACAAUUGGUUGGAAUUGAUGAUUGUAUUAAACAUAUUAUGAGCUUCAUAGAUGCCAAAUUCAAUGGUACAUGGAUUAUUGGAAUUUAUGGGAUGGGCGGUAUCGGUAAGACGACUCUUGCAAAGGCGUUAUACAACAAACUCUUCAGUCAAUUUGAGUAUCAUAGCUUUGUGGCAGAUUACCGGGAAACAUUGCAGUGCAAGGGUAUUGCAUGCCUACAAAGGCAACUCUUAUCUGGCCUUGGAAGUGCAUGUGAUGUGUCUAGUGUGGAUGAGGGAACCAAUCUUAUCAAAUCUCACUUUGCACAUAAGAAAGCCCUCAUUUUUCUUGAUGAUAUAGGUGACGAUGCUCAAUUGAAAUAUUUGGUCGACCGUGCUUGGUUUGAAGCAGGAAGUAUAAUCAUCAUAACAACUAGAGACAAGAAUACUCUUAAUAAAAUUAGGGCAGACCCAAUGUACGAACUCCUUGAGUUGUCUCAGGAUAAAUCAUUGAUUCUUUUUAGUAGACAUGCAUUUCAACAGGAUUUCCCUCCGAGUGAUUAUGAGGCUCUCACUCAUGAUGUCGUAUCUACCACUGGAGGGCUUCCAUUAGCUCUUGAAGUUAUAGGCUCAUUGUUAUAUGAAAAGAAAAUAAAAGUAUGGCAAGAUAUAUUACAGAAAUUGAAAAAAACGCCCAAUAAGACAGUGCAAGAGAAGUGAAAAUAAGUUAUGACGCAUAAUNNNNNNNNNNNNNNNNNNNNNNNNNNNNNNNNNNNNNNNNNNNNNNNNNNNNNNNNNNNNNNNNNNNNNNNNNNNNNNNNNNNNNNNNNNNNNNNNNNNNCGACAAGGAAACCAUUUGGAAAAGGUAAAAGAGCUGAAUUUCCUCUGCAUUUAAUCCAUUAUGAUGUAUGUGGUCCAAUGAAUGUGAGAGGAAGGCAUGGGGCUGUUUAUUUCAUCACUUUUAUAGAUGAUUAUACUCGAUUCGGAUAUAUCUAUUUGAUUUCUCAUAAAUCUGAAGCAAUAAGUUGUUUCAAAAUGUUUAUGAACCUGGUAGAGAAUCAAUUAGACAAGAAAAUAAAAGCAUUGAGAUCCGAUCGAGGUCGAGAAUAUUUAUCUGAUGAGUUCAGAAAAUUAUGUGAUGAAAAAGGAAUAGAAAGACAGUUGUCUAUUCCAUAUACUCCUCAACAAAAUGGUGUUGCGGAGAGAAGAAACAGAACCCUACUGGAAAUGGUUAGGUCCAUGAUGGCGCAUGCUAACUUACCUAUUACUUUUUGGAGUGAUGCGUUGUUAACUGCUGCCUAUAUACUUAACCGUGUGCCUUCCAAAUCAGUUACUUCCACUCCAUAUGAGUUAUGGACAGGUAGAAAACCGGACUUAAGUUUUCUUAAGCCAUGGGGUUGUGCUGCCUAUACACAUGAGUCAUUUCACAAGUUUGGGAAAUUGGGUCCCAGAGGAAAGAAGAGUAUUUUCAUAAGAUACUCGGAACACUCGAAAUGGUAUGUGUUCAUAGGUGAGCAGGAAAGUGGGAGUAUAACUGAAUUUGAAUCACGGGAUGUCACAUUCUUAGAGGAUGAGUUUCCUAAGAAGGGCGAAAUAGGGGAAGAUUACUCCAUAUUUGAAACCUUGGAUCAAGAUAAUGANNNNNNNNNNNNNNNNNNNNNNNNNNNNNNNNNNNNNNNNNNNNNNNNNNNNNNNNNNNNNNNNNNNNNNNNNNNNNNNNNNNNNNNNNNNNNNNNNNNNNNNNNNNNNNGUGGGAGCAUAAUGGGGAAUGAUGUACAAAGUGUACAAUCUCCCAUACGGCGAACAAAUCGCCAAAGUAUUCCCCGUCAACGGUUUGACAUUGAAGGGGAAACUUUUAUGGUUGCUCCACAAGAUGAGGAUGAGCCAAGAAAUAUUAAUGAGGCUCUGAAUUGCCCUAGUAAGGAAAAAUGGAUUCAUGCAAUGGAAGAGGAAAUGGAGUCAAUGAAAUCAAACCAGGUCUGGGAACUGGUUGAUCUUCCAAAAGGACGCAGAGCUAUUGGUAACAAGUGGAUUCUCAAAAUAAAGCGAAAGGCUGAUGGCUCGAUAGAAAAGCAUAAGGCUCGCCUUGUGGCGAAGAGGUAUAAUCAACAGGAAGGAAUUGAUUAUGAAGAUACAUUUUCUCCUGUAGUGAGAUUUACCUCGAUUCGCAUUAUUCUGGCAAUAGUAGCUAGUAUGGAUCUUGAGUUACAUCAAAUGGAUAUAAAGACUGCUUUCCUCAAUGGAGAAUUAGAGGAAGAAAUAUAUAUGGAACAACCUGCUGGUUUCAUAGUGAAAGGCCAAGAAGAAAGGGUAUAUCAACUUUUGAGAUCGAUAUACGGCCUUAAGCAGUCAUCGAGACAAUGGUAUAUACGUUUUCAUAAUGCCAUAAUGGCAUAUGAUUUUACGAUGAUUGAUGAGGAUCAUUGUGUAUAUAUCAAAAGAUCCAAGGAUCAAUUUGUGAUCAUAUCAUUAUAUGUUGAUGAUAUACUGAUUGCCGGAAGCAAUAUGGAGUUUGUUAAUACAGUCAAGAGUUGGUUGUCUUCCAACUUUGAGAUGAAGGAUAUGGGUGAGGCUGCAUACAUUCUUGGAGUUAAGAUUUCAAGAGAUCGUUGUCUCUUUCGCAAGAAACAUAUAUAAAUAAGGUUCUUGAACGAUUUCGUAUGCAAGAUUGUAAACCCAUAGACACUCCUAUUGCAAAAAUUGAAGGAUUGAGCCAUAGACUGUGUCCAAGGACUCCACAAAAUAAGGAACAAAUGAAACAUGUUCCUUAUGCUAGUGCUGUUGGGAGCUUGAUGUACGCUAUGAUGUGUACAAGACCCGACAUAUGUUUUGCAGUUGGAAUGGUGAGUAGAUACCAAUCCAAUCCAAGUCCAGCACAUUGGAAAGCCGUUAAGAGAAUACUGAGGUAUCUGAAGGGAACUGCUGAUUUCAAGUUGAAUUACCAAGGAAAGGAUCUGCGACUUGAAGGCUAUUCAGAUGCUGAUUGGGGAGGAGAUUUAGAUGAAAUGAAAUCUACCUCUGGAUUUACUUUCUUACUAAACAAUGGCGCCAUAUCAUGGAGCAGUAAGAAGCAAACGUGUAUAGCCUUGUCCACGAUGGAAGCUAAGUUCGUGGCAUUAUCAGCAGCGGUACAAGAAGGAGUUUGGCUUAAGAGAUUUUUGGAUCAUUUAGGUGUUAUUGAGAAAGUUGCAAAUCCAUUGUUUGUUAACUGUGAUAGCCAAGCAGCUAUAGCGUACACCAAAGAUCCAAAAUAUCAUGGCAAGGCCAAACAUAUAGAUACCAAGUAUAACUUUGUCAAGGAUAUGGUUGCACGAAAGGAUGUGAACUUACAGUACAUAUCUACGCAUAGAAUGGUAGCAGAUCCUAUGACAAAGCCAAUACCUAGAGAUGUGUUUUGUGGUCAUGUAAAAUCUCUAGGAUUGCGUAGAGUCUGAUGUACUGGAUUGUAAUUUCCCUGAGUUGUUCACAUUUAUGAACUAGUGUUGUUUCAUUAUUAAUGCCUAUGAAUCUUUGUUUGAUCUUUAUGCAUCUUAAUGCUCAGUGAAUUACUUUAAGUUGAGGAAGUAUGUCGGACAGAUAAAAGAUUAGCCCACUCACACGGGUAAUCGCCUCUAUUUACUGUGUGAUAAAUAGAGAUGAGACUAUAUUUAAGCUUAUUAUCUAGGCGAUAAUCGAGAGCUCAAGCUUAAAAUACAUAUGUCGCCUUAACUAAGUGUUAAGAUGAAGACAUAAUACUUACGAUGUCCAAAAGUAAAAUACCCCACAUAUUUUAUUUUAUCUGUCUAAGAUGCCAGAUGUGAGUUCUGAUGAAUUUUGUAAAUGAGUAGAUACGUGAACUCAAGUUAGACAUUGGGUAUGUCUGAACUAUCAUUUGUACGGUAUUGAAAAAUGUAGACAUACGCUCCAUGGGAAAGGAGUUAAUACCGUAAUACGUAUUUCAUACUACGUAUGCAUGAGACAACCAAUAAGAGUGGCAAAAAGUUUGAUCUCAACUUUUAUGACGUGUGAGACUCUUGAGGAAAAAAGUUCCUCAAUUUUUAGUGCCCUCAUGACUUUUACUUAUUCUCAAGAUUUCUAUUUAGUGUUUGCUAUCUUAGGAUGUUGCCAAUGGUCAUGAAUUGAUUCAAUCUAAUUGGACAUUUCUAGAAAAGCAAGCUAAACUGAAAUUGAGAGUUUGAAGGAAAGAGGAAGAUCGAUUUUGGAGAAUCACAUUGUACUUUUGUAUUCACUGGUCGACCAAUUAUGACUGUUUUUGUGAUAACUGUAAUUGUGAAUACAAUAUAUAUAUAUAUAUAUAUAUAUAUAUAUAUAUAUAUAUAUCAUUGUUUAAAGGAGAUCAAGAGAGAUAUAAAUGUGAUUGAUCGAUCUAGGGUACUGCAUACUAAAUCUACUCAGAGUAUGACGCCCAAUAUGAGCUGCUAUAUAUUCCUAACAGAUGUAUAGCAACGAGCUCUCAAAGUAUGCUGGUUGCACGGAUUAUUCACCGGUAUGAAUGUUGAAGAGAGGUCAAGAGAAUCAUAUUCCGCCCACCAUGUGCGAGUGGGAGAUGAUGGUUUUAUUAGUGAUGGGCUUAAGGCCCGUCCGCCCAUGUUGGGCCUAAAAACCCGGCCCACAGAAUUAGGGCCCGUGGAUGGAGGGACGUAUAAAAGGGAGGAGAGAGAGGGAGAACGCACCUUUUGGAAAUCAGAACGUACGUACGUCUCCCUCUCCCUCUCUCUCUCUCUCUCUCUCUCUCUCUCUCAAAAGGAAAACAGUAAGGCUCCAGCAACGUUUUUUCUUCCCUUCAACCACGAUUUGGCAUCAUCACAUCGAACAAGGGCUAAAUUCUCUUCCUCUUAUCUGCGUCGGUGUUUAAUCUGUGGCUAACAAGGUACGCUUGAAUCCGUGGUGUGCUUGAAUCCGUGGUGUGCUUUAGGAUCGGUGAUACAUGAUUUUCCCGGGCUUGUCUUCCGCAUUCGUUUUAGGGGUUCGAUUUAGUGUCGAAUCCGGUUUUCGGGGAUCCGUUAAUUCCCAACAGAUCUUGUGUGAUAUCAAUUUGAAUAUUUCGUUAUCUAAUUUGAUUGAUUUUUGUUAUCUUUGUCAGUAUUGUCAUAUCCAAAACAAAUUUCGAGCAUCGGUGAAGUAGAAUAAUUUCCUAAUUUUCACAGUCCAAUUUCAUGCACGGAAUACAACUCAUGAUCGCAUGGAAAAUCGGUCAAUCCAAUCUCUCGCUUGAGAUACGACUUGCAAUUGCAUGGAAAAGCACAUGAUUUGAUUUGUUUCGACCGAUUAUCUUAUUUUUCGUUUAGUUGGUGAUGGAGUUUAGGAUUAAAAUGAUAAAGUCAAAUAUGCACGAAUUCACAUUAGUAUUAUGAUGCAAUUAAAUUAUUUUUUUCUCAAUAAUUUUGAAUGAAUAGGCCUCUCUCUAUAUAAUAUAUUUAAAAAUAUUCAUGUGCAAAAGACCUAGUGAAGUCACAGCAAGACUUGCUGAAAGCAACAGACGCUUGGGGGCUGGAAUCGAAAAGUGGCCAAAUAAGAUCGACUGUGUUUAAUUGUAAGAUGAAAAUUACGAAAGUUAUAAGCCGCUAAAGUUAGAUGCCACACACUUCUUAUGGAAGAAAUCUUAUAAAUUUAUUUGGUAAUAUUAUGCUAAUUAUUUGGAAAUUGCAUGCUUGGGUUCCGAAGCUAAGUUAUUAAUUUUAUUUUUGAAUUAAAAAAAAAGAGAGAUUUUGACAAAGGGUUGGGCUUAAACCAGCUCUCACUUGGUGUAAUUAAUUUGGUUUGAGUCAGUUUAGGUUGAUUCAGGCUAAAAACACUCUUAAGCUAUAUUUGGUAGUCUAGAUUUUUUACCAGAAUAUGAUUUGAUAUGAUAAGAUAUGAAAUCUAAGAAUUUUAUUAUAUCCUAUUCACUUUUUGGUGAUUAGAGUAAUAAAAUCAUAUAUAUUUACAUCAUAUUAUGUACAUUAUUUGGUAUAAAUGGCAUAUUAAUAUAAAUAAAUAAAUAAAUUUACAAACGAAAAUGUUUAAAAAUCUCUCAGACCACUCUUGUUUACUCUAUUUUAUUUGCUUGUUUAUUUUAUUUUCCUCUCUUUUUUAUGAAUUUCUUUUUUAUUUCUUUUUAACCCUCCCAUCAUUCUCUAAUAAAGAAAAGCUUUAACCUUCAAAAAUGUUAGGAAGGACUUCAAUUAACACGGAAAUGUUAUAAUUAAAGAGAAAUGAUUUGGUGACAGUUUUUAAUCUACAAUGAGAAUAAAAAUAUGUUCUAGACCACAAAAAAUCAAAUAACAAAUAAUUAUAAAUUGCAGUGGGUUCAUUCCUUCAAGAAUUUGGGGCUCACAAGUUGUUAUUCUCACCGUAGACUAGAUACUGUUAUGCUAGCAAAGCUCUUAAUUAAAUAAUGAAUUUUUGUUCCAUGGUAUCCAAUCUCACAUCAUCCUAAAAAAUUGAAAUUUGAUCAGGCAGAACCUAGCUCUAGAGAAUCAAUUAGGUAGAGAGUGAGAGAGGGGAUAAUAUAAGCCGAUUGCGUAUAUAAAUUAGUUGGGCAUGAAGGCCGAUUGCUUGAUUAUCAAGGCCCAUUAAACACCACUAUCUGAUUUAUAGUUAUGAAAAUAUCCGACUUCUUAACCAACUACACAAACCCUUAAAAAGGGAUUGAGCUUACAAUUUAUGUUGACUUAAUUAACACGUGGCCCAAAAUAUAUUUAACCUUUGUGUCACCUUCUAUAUAAUUUGACAGACCAUGUAUUUUUCAAAUAUUAUUCCAUUGCUUUAGUCAAAACCAACAUCUAUUUUUUUAUUAAAAAGAUGUGUAGAAGUCAUUGGUUUUCUUUCAUAUUCCAAUUUCAAUCUCCCCCAAUGACCACAACCCAUGGAAGAUCCAUAGCUUUCAUACUUUCUUGAAUGUUGGAGAAUCAUAAUAACAUUCGGGUCCCCACAUCCAUAAAACCGAAUUAUGUGAACACAGCAUGGAGUUGAUGAGGGUUUCAAGGGGGCUCACUCGAAAACCCGUCGGAAGUUUCUUGCAUCUUAUUGGAGCAAAUUCAUGGUGUCUUGCUCACUUCCCUUCACCUUCCCAUUACAUUUCCCCAACGAUUCCAUUUAUUUAAUGGAAGAGCAAGUCAAGUCUUGCUGGAUCUCAAAUUUCAAUCAAAGAAUUUGCGUAGGUGACGCGGUGGCACCUUCCACAUAAUGAUGACGAAAUCACCGGUGAGUAGCUCAGCAUUCUUCAAGCACUCAGCAUUGUUCAGGAGCGCACCGUAAAAAAAGCAGGGAUUAGGAGCACCUUUAUUGCAAGUUGGUCUUCUUUUCUAAUUUUUUUCUACUUUUCCUUUAAAAGAAAAAGAAAGUGAAGAAGCACUUGCAUAGGUUCCCCGCAACUUCCGCAUAAUGCUGCGAAUAUUACGCAUGUGAUGACUCAGCAUUCUUUAAGCACUCCGCAGUCAAUACUCUUCAAGCACGCACAGUAAAGAGUGUUUUGUGUUGGUAAUCCAACAUGUAAGGCUGAGGAUCGGAGGAGAUGACAGCACUGAGUGGGUUGUUUUGUUCGAACACUUCUCAGGUUGAUUGAUUUUCGUUAUCUUUGUCGGUCAUAUCCAAAAAAAAAAUUUAGUACUGGUGAAAUAGGAUAAUUUCCUAAUUUUCACAGUCCGAGUUCAUACCCGAAAUAUAAUUCACAAUUGCGCAGAAAAUCAUCCAAUUCGAUCUUACGCUCGAGAUACAACUCAUGAUCACACGAAAAGCACAUGACUUAAUUUGUUUUGACCAAUUAUCUUAUUUUUUGUUUAGUUAGCAAUGGAGUUUAGGAUUAAAUUGAUAAAGUCAAAUAUACACACAAUUCACAUUAGUAUUAUGAUUCAAUUAAAUUAUUUUUUUCUCAAUAAUUUUGAAUGAAUAGGUCUCUCUCUCUCUCUCUCUCUCUCUCUCUCUCUCUCUCUCUCUCUCUCUCUCUCUCUCUCUCUCUCUCUCUCUCUCUCUCUCUCUCUCUCUCUCUCUCUCUCUAUAUAUAUAUAUAUUUAUAAAUAUAAUAAAUUUAAAAAUAUUCAUGUUCAAAAGACCUAGCGAAGUCACUAGAAACUUGCUGAAAGCAGCAAACACGAGGGUGCUGGAAUCGAAAAAUGGCCAAAAUGAGGUCAACUGUCUUUAAUUUUAAGAUGAAUGUUAUGAAAGUUAUGAGCCGUUAAGGUAGGUGGCACACACUUCUUAUGAAUGAGAGUUUAUGAAUUUCUUAGGUAAUGUUAUGUUAAUAAUUUGGUAACUGCAUGCUUGGGUUUCGAAACUAAGUUACUAAUUUUACUUUAGAAUUAAAAAAAAAAAAUCGACAUAGGGCUGGGCUUAAACCAGCUCUCACCUUAUGUAUUUAAUAUGGUUUGAGUCAAUUUAGGUUGUUCAAACUUGAAACACUCAGUCUAUAUGCUCUUGUGUCUAGAAGCUGGGUAAUUCUGAUCGUAUUUCUUUGUAGAAGUUUGCACUUUCAAAAUCUAGGAAGUUAGUAAGUCAAUAGUGUUGUAAGAGAUACUCGUGUUUUGUAGAAUCAUCUACUAAGUUGUAUGUAAAAGUAGCAUCCUUUACAAAACCGUAAAAUCUCGAGUGUUACUCAGCCUUGUUGCGAGAGGAGUAGGUCAGGUGGAAGUUCAAGCCACUAUAAAUCUGUUUUGCAUCUCUUCGAUCUCUCUAACUCCUUUAUUAUCAUUUGGACAGAAAGGUACCGCCUCUGCAUGACUGUUUUCUUCCUACACCAAUACACAAUACCCGUUCUUCAUGAAAAAAAAAUAUUAUUUUACUUAGAACAACCAAUUCACCCUCCUACAGCAGCAUAUUACUUCACAUCUUUUCCAUGAAAGAGUUUCAAUUUUCUUAAAACAAUCAAUUCAACUCUCCUCAAUCGUUGCAUUAAUCGUUUCAUUAAUCUCUUUUGUUAAUAAGAGCAAUGAAAGAUCUAUCUCACUGGCCAAAAUGAAUCUCUUAAAUAAUCCUUUCUAGAUGACCAUCUUAGUAAGUGGGAAAUUACCAAAAUCACAUGACAAUAUCUUUUUGUUCUGGGCUAAUUUAAGGGAACUCAUAUGACACAUACCAUGAUUGACAUUUAAUAGCAUUAGAAUUAAUGAUUAUCUCGUCUGACAUUAUAAAGGACAAUGCAAAAAAAAAAAAAAAAAUUAAGGAGGAAACCUCGUUGAAGCUUCUUGUAGUUGGAGCUACCGAUUGAAAAGAACAAUGCCUGUAGCUUAAAAGAAAAGCUUCAACCUUCAGAAAUGUUAGGAAGGACUUCGGUUAACACAUAAAUGCUUUAAUUAAUUAAUGAAUCUAUGUUCCAGAGCACUUAAUCUCACAUAAUUAAAAACAAGGGAAAUUUGAUCGGGCUGAACCUAGCUCUAGAGAAUCAAUUGGGUAGAGAGCUAGAGAGGGGAAAAUAUAAGCCGGCCGCUUGUAUAAGAUAGUUAGGCACAGAGUCCGACUGCUUGAUUACUUGAAGGCCCAUUAAGCACUACACUUCGAUUUAGAGCAGUUUUAAAUAUGAAAAUAUUCAACUUCUCAACCAACUACGUAAACUCUUAGAAGGGAUUGAGCUUACAGUUUAUGUUGGCGUAAUUAAUACAAGGCCCAAAAUAUUUAACCUUUGUGUCACCUUCUAUAAAGUUGGAAAACCAGAUAUUUUUCAAAUAUUAUUCCCUCGCAUUGGUAAAAAAAUGGACAUUUUUUUUUAUUAGAGGGAUGUGCAGAUAUAUAUGGUUUCCUUUCAUAUUCCAAUUUCAAAUCCACUCAAAGAUCACAACCCAUGGAAGGUUCACAAGAAGUGGAAGAUGCUCUCACUUUAUCAUCUUUUUUUUUAUAUAUAAAUAAUUUCUACCGAGAAGAAGGCAGAACUAAGGCUCAUUUUUAGUCAUCAAUCCACAACAAUCGCGCAUCCAUCUCUGCGGAACUUGCGUCUUGAUUUUAUUAAUCUUCCCAAAAUAUUUAGUCGCCGAUUCUCUUUUGUGGGUCUAAUCCCAUAGCUUUCGUACAUUCUUGAACAUCGGAGAAUCACAAUAACAUUCAGGUCCCCAUAUCCAUAAAACUGAAUAAUGUGAGCACAGCAUGAAGGUAAUGAGGAUUUCGUGGAAGCUCACUCGAAAACCCACCGGAAGUUUCUUGCAUCUUAUGGAAGCAAAUUCAUGGUCACUUCAUGACCCUUUCUGGUGUGGUUUGACAAGUGAUUUUCAUGAAAAAUGCCUCGAAAUUAAAACUGAAAUCAGCUAAAUGUGUAAUAUUUGAAAAAAUAUAGCACUUGAAUAGAUCUGUCAUCACCCAAAAUAAACCCAACAUUUAUUUCAUCGUUUAAAUAGGCAAUGUGAGAUAAUAAUUUCACUAGCGGAGUUUACGCAACGACAUACAUUCAAUUUAACAAUCAAUGUUUAGGCAAUGACCCAUAUUCGAUUUUUAUUUUUAGCAAGCAUUUCUAUUCCAUAAAUGAAGUGAUAUUCUAUUUGUUCGUGUAAAUAGUUAUCUAAAUAUAACUGCUAUCUCUUUAUGUAAAAAUCCUCUUUUGAAAAUCUCAAAAGUUUAUUGAUUAAUGUGGGACAAGUUGCAAACAGUUUCCUAAAACGAUUCCAUCAACAAAUGAAUAGAGUUUAGCAAGACAUUCAUCAAAAUGAAUAGAUAAAAGUCAGCUUGCUACGAGCGAGAGCUAUGGACAAUCUGACAUAAAUUAUGUUGACAAGAUUUUUCAUACGAGAGCCACGGGUUUUAUUUACAGAUACCGGUGAGAUGUUGAAAAUGCAUUUGUCCAAGCCUUUAAGUUAGCUUUGGAGCUAUUCUUGUCAAUCCUCCACAACCUCUACCGAAAUGCACUACUGAAUUCCAGAAAUUCCCUGCUUAGUCACACCAAUUUUCCCAAACUCCCCACAUGGCUUGUGCUUCACACUACUUUACCCUUCCGUUUUAGCAUGCAGCAGCGGAAUCGUGAUGUCCUGCUCGCUUCACCUUCGGCUUCCUAUUACAUUUCCUCGACCAUUCCAUCUAUUAAUGGAAAAGCAAGUCAAGUCAAGUCGUGCUGGAUUCCAAAGUUCAAUCAAAGCACCUGUUACGUGGCACGCACCUUUCGCAUGAUGCUGACGAAAUUACACGUUCAAGCGUGUACUGUAGAAAAAGCAAGGACUAGGAGCAUCUUUAUUGCAAGUGGGUUUUCUUUCCCACUAAGGCAAGUAAAGUCAAGAAGCACCUACACAGGGUCCCUGCAACUUCCACGUAAUGCCAUGAAUAUUACGCGUGCAAUGACUCAGCAUUCUUGGAACACUCUGCAAUCAGUAUUCUUCAAGCAUGUACAGUAAGGACAAACAAGGCUUAAUACUGUGCAAAGGACAAAUGCACUUUGGUGGAGAAGCCGUUGGCUGAAAAUGUUAAUAUGAAAUAAAAAGCUAAGCACCAAAUUAAAUAAAAAAAGGUAACUGGUAUUCACUAAAUAAUUAGUCGAUAGUGCAGAGAACCCACUGGCCAAGAAUUUCUAAAAGUGACACCAAAUGUAUAAACUCGCAACUCCACCAACUCAGGAGGAACCAACUCUAAAUGUCUUGUGAGUCCAUGAAAUGAAAAGAGAAUUGGCGGAGUCACCUCAUGUAAGUAAUUAGAUGGAUUUAACAUAACGCUAGUUGUUGAUUGUGCAAAUAAGAUCAUCAUAAUUUUCUAACUUGCCCUUGCCCAAGUGAUGACAAAUAAAACCUUUCAUAUUUACUAUCAAUCGACUAUUAGUUUCCCCAAUAAUUCUCGUAUAUGGUAGAUUCUCCGGUCAUUACUGAUAUAUCAAAUGUCCGAAUAUGCUUGUAGCUCGAUCCAAAUCUGGAAACAGUCUCACCCAAAUCCAGUCUUUCGUGGAAUGUGUGCACUAAUCUUCGGCCGACCUCACUCCGAGCAUCAGCAUUGGUCGUUGGUUUUCUUUUCAAUUCUUCAUUUACUUGGAAAAGCAAGUCAUGUCAAGGUACAACUACAUAGGUAGGUUCAACGCACCUUUCGCAUAAUAGUGCGGAAAUUACGCCUGCAAUGGUGCUGUUUGCUUUUUAUUUUCUAGUUGUUUUAAUAAUAGAAAAGUCAAGUCAAGUUGAAGUCGUGCUUACUUUAGAAAAAAAGCGCCUGCAUAGGCUCUACGCCCCUUCCGCGCAAUGCCGUGGAAAUUAUGCAUGCAAUAAUUACGCUUUUCGUGCAGCAUGCAUCGCAAUCGCAACGGUUCGAUUAGUUGAAGAUUCUCGGACGGUUGGAUGGCAAGAACUCAGCAUUGUUCAAGCACGCGCAGUAGAGAGCAUUGUGAUGUCAUUUCUCUAACUUGCUGUUGCCGGAUGUGUUCGAUGUUGACUAGCUUUGACAUUUCUCUCAACUCUUGGCAUGUAUGUGAGUAAUACAGAGAGAAGCUUGAAAUAUUGAGGAUGAUGUGUUUCUUCCACGACUCUUAUCAAAUUUCAGAUUUGCCAGAAGUUCUCAGUACAAUGUCUCUUCCCAUUUUCAAUUUACUAUUGGUGCUUCCAAGCGGCAACUUAAGAUGAUUUCUUUGUCUAAUUUGUUUUCACUUUUAUCUUCUAGCUGGCGAAGCAUAGAAACCAUCACAUAUUUCCUAUGAAUCUCAACAUUUGAUUGACUUCAUCAAUCAUUUGUUGUUUGAAAUCCCUUUUCCUUAUGGAGGAAGAUGUAGAGGGUUUAAAUAUCUGUCAUAGAGUGAAAUGAGAAAAGAGUGACUCCUAUGAAAGCCAUCAAAUAAUUCUUGAACUUUAAUUUGUUUCAUGGAACACGUUCGAAUGAAACAACAAAAGUAUGGUUCACUCGUUAAGUUUUCAAUUAUACUUUUAUGGAGAUUUCCAAGUCUAGUAAGUAUCAAAUGUAUCACAGACCCUCAUGGAAGUAUGAGAAGCAACUUGAGUGAAAAGUCAUCAUCUCUUCUUCACUCCAAAAGGUGAUUACUUCAUUGAUAUCGGUGUGUAGAGCUUCGGAUACUUCAUUUCUUUUUAUGUUUUGCAAAUUAAGUGUACAAAAAGGCUUAUGUUGAAUACGAUAGUCCGAAAUUUACAUCAACUCAAAUAAUAUGAAAGAGAAUAUGCACAAAUAUGAAUUAGUUGAUUAGGAACGUCAUGCAGGAUAUGUCUUCAAUUAUAAACUUGUGUUGAUAGAGUGUUUGUACCUAUGAGUAAAGAAGUGAAAACAUGCUGUUAGGAGGUUUUAUAAGCUAAGCUGGUUGUCAGAGCAGCAAAAGUAAGCUAAUAUUAUAUAGCUACAAUACACUAGGUGUGAACGUAGUCACUCCUUAGUGUCGUGUUUAAUGCAAUUCCUCUCCAUUUAAUAACUUCAGUUUUUCAAAUCACAUCUUGUAAUGCUAAAUAAGCUGAUAUUGAAUCCUCGUCUAUCGUGCUAAGAAAAAUUAUAUUUUGGUGAAGAACCUGUUGGCCGAGAAUGUACAUGAAAUAAAAUGUCUGACAAAAGAUAAAAUAAAAAGGGAACAAAAGUAUCACUGAAUUAUUAUUCGACUACGGAGAAUUAUUGGCUGAGAAUUUAUUAACGCGACACUAAAAUAAUAAAAUUUAUGGAAAAUGUUAAAAACUAUUAAUUUAAGGGGAGAGAUAAAAGUGGCUUGGGUGGAGGAUAUCCACUUGAUAAUUUUUAAGCAAAAAGUGGUGUGGAGAAAUCUAGUUUAAGGAAAUUAUUUUGAAAAAAUUUAUAUUGGAGUUACUUUUCUAGACGAAUAAAAAAAGGUAAUGCGUCCUGCCGACUUUUAAUAACAAAAUCCUCUAUAACCCCUAAUUUAUACGCUCUUGUCAUGGGCUCAUGUACAUUAGCAGCAUAUAAGAGAAUGAAAGCAAGUCAAGACGGUGAUGGAUCUCUCCAAUUUCAUUGAAAGCACGUAGAUAUGUUCCCAGUACCUUCCCCGUAAUAUGCUGAGAAUCGGUGGAGAUCACGGCAGAAGCAUGUGAGUACUGCUCGUCGGUUCACUUUUCUACUUUUUCUUAGUUAUAUAAAAAGCAAGUCAAGUCAUGAUGCUGCCGAGCAUUGCGUGUCUCCAAGUCAUGAUGCUGCUUCGACCCACAAAACGAAAAAGUCAUGAAGCUGCGGAAACUACGCGUGCAAUGAUUGUUCUCUCUCCGGCAUGCCUCACAGCAUUUUGAUUGGCCUGAAGAGUCCUGGACCACUGGAUGGCAAGAACUCAGACAUCAUUUGAGCACGCAUAUUAGAGAAUGUUGCGUAUUGGUAAUCUGACUUCAAAGGCUAAAAAUCGGUGGAGAUCCCAGGGUUCUGCUGUUUGAGCAUUCCUCUAGUAAUCAACGACGCCUUCCUCUUUUUCUGUUUCCUGUUCUGAUUGCUCCAUUUUCUUCUGAUGAUUUGUCUGAGAGUUUCUAUUUCUGUUUGAAUGUAGCUUCGUGUUUGACCACUGAGACAUUUCUGCUAGUCCUAGAUCUGGGAUUUUGCAUCUCUCCUCUGUUUCCUCCUCUAUCAAUCUCUUUACGAUCCUUUCGAGAUGAAAAGAAGAGAAUUCACUCAUUUAGAAGAUUCGAUCUACGAGGUGUCUUCCUCAUCGACUUCUCAAAAUGUAGGUGAUUAUGAAGGCGGAACCAAAAGGUUGAAAGGAAAUGAUUACGAAGUGUUUUUGAGCUUUAGAGGGGAAGACACUCGCAAAGGCUUCACUGAUUAUCUCUAUACUAGCCUUGUUGAGAAAGGAAUUCGUGUGUUCAGAGACGACAAUGAGCUUCAUGUUGGUGAGAAGAUUGGUCCGGAGCUUCUUUGCAGCAUUAGGCAGUCCACAAUUUUGAUCCCAAUUAUCUCCGAGAACUAUGCUUUCAGCAAAUGGUGCCUUCGCGAGUUGGCUCAGAUGUUGAAGUGCAAGAGAAGUAGACAACAAAUAGUGUGGCCUAUCUUUUACAAAGUGAAACCCUCGCAAGUGCGCCAUCUUAAGGGGAGAUUCGAAGAUGCUAUCAAGGCACAUAAAGAGAAUGGGGAUGAAAUGGUUUUGAAGGAAUGGAAAAAAACGCUCAAAGAAGUGAAGGAAUGGGAAGAAGCUCUCAAAGAAGUUGGUUCUUUGAAAGGAUGGGAAUCAAAUAAGAUUCAUAAUGGGUACAUUAUUCUUCACCAAAUUGUUGUUUAAUUUCUCACAAAUAGAUCUUUCGUGAUAAAGAACAUAAAUGUGGCCGUUCUAUACUAAAAUUAAUUGUUAUUGUGGCAGGCACGAAGGAGCAUUUGUUAAAACUAUUAUCACAAACGUUAUGAGCGAGUUAAAAAGGCUUUUUCUACUAAAUGUUCCCAAGCAAUUGGUGGGAAUUGAUGAUCGUAUCAAUGACAUUAUGAGCUCAAUAGAUGAUAAAUUAUAUGACACAACGAUUAUUGGACUUUAUGGAAUGGACGGCAUCGGUAAGACAACUCUUGGAAAGGUGUUAUACAACAAGCUCUCUAGUCAUUUUGAGUCUUGUAGCUUUGUGGAAAAUAUUCGAGAAACAUAUCAGCACCAGGGUUUUAAAUGCAUACUGAAAAAACUCAUUAAAGAUAUAAUAGGAAGUUCGAGUCACUUGUCUAGUGUUGAUGAGGGAAUAGGUGUCAUCAAAUCUCUAUUUACAAGAAAGAAAAUCUUAGUUCUACUUGAUGACAUGGAUGGUAGUACUACUCAGUUAAAUGCUUUGGUCAAAGACGGUAGUUGGAUUGGAGUAGGAAGUAUAGUCAUCAUUACAACCAGAGACGAGAGGAUUCUCGAUAAGGCUAAGGCAAGCUACAUGUACCCACUCAAUGAGUUGUCUAUAGAUCAUUCAUUGAUCUUAUUUAGUAGACAUGCAUUUCGAGAGGAUUCUCCUCCGAGUGAUUAUAAGGUUCUCUCUCGUGAUAUCGUAUCUACUACUGGGGGGCUUCCAUUAGCCCUUGAAGUUAUAGGUUCAUACUUAUGUGGAAUGAUAAGAGAAGUAUGGGAAGAUACAUUAGAAAAAUUAAAAAAGGCACCCGAUGAGAAAGUGCAAGAGACAUUGAAGAUAAGUUACGAAGCAUUAGAUCAUGAGCAAAAACAGAUAUUUUUGGAUAUUGCAUGCUUUUUCAUUGGAUCACAUAAAGAAGAUCCAAUUUAUAUGUGGGACGCCAGUGAUUUUCUCCCGAGGAGGGGGAUUGAAGUAUUGAGUCUUAUGUCCCUAAUUAAAUUUGACGAAUACAACAUGCUAGUGAUGCAUGAUCAAUUGAGAGAUCUUGGAAGGGAAAUUGUUCGUCAGGAAAAUCCAAAGGAGCCUCAAAAGCGUAGCAGAUUAUGGAAUUACAAGGAGGCCAUAGAUGUGAUUGAUGGAAACAAGGUAAGAGUUUUCUCUACUUGUUGUAGUAAGUGAAUGUGGUUUCAUCUUCCCUUUCUUGUUUGAAAUAAAUAUACUUGUUGGUCUUGACUCCCCAAAACUAACUGAUUCUACUAGCAAAAGAGUAACAUGAUUAAUUGCUAUUUUUGCUUGAUUCUGGAACAUAAUUUAGGAUCAAUUUCUUGGUUAUGGAUAAAGGAUAUAUAUCUUUGCCCGGUAGAAUUUUGUUCAGGAUACUCUGCUCUUGGUAACUUUAAUGCAACAGCAAAACUACAAAAGCAGAAUGUUUGACAAUUACUUUUAGAGAAAACCUGACAUUUAUAAAUUGUUGCAGCCAUAUUUGUUUGAUGCACAUGUUUGAUGUUUGGAUCCGUCAUUUGGUUUCCAGCGAGGCCUUUUUUUUAUUAUUUUGUGACGAUUUAGCUAUCUUGCUUCCUGUAUUUAUUAAGUUGGGGUAAGUUUAACCCCUAAAUAUUAUUGGCUGUGCAAUUUAGUCCCCCAUUUAUUUUUUGCUUUUACUCAAUAUAGUCCUCUAACUUUCACUUUUUCAUGCAAUUGAUUCAUUUGUGGUCAAUCGUUAGCACUGUCAAUUUGCUAAUGUGGCAUGAUUAACUGCGUAAUUUAACCCUCUAAACAUAUAUUAUUUUCAUUGUAUAUACUUUUUAGGAUAGUGGAUAGUUUCUUUUUAUGAAUCUGGUAAUACCUUUUCUCUUUGUGAUAAUGGAUGAUUUUUUUAUUAAUCUCCCAGUAUUAUUUAUUUGCUAAAUGUAGGCUAUCAUGUUAUAAUAAUAAUUUGUUUAUUGUUCAAUUCUUGGUGAGAAUCUUACUUAGCAAAGAUAUAGUCAACAUUAAAAACAUUAUCUUAUUUUUGUGAAACGAAAACUAGUUUGAGGUAAAUGUGACACGGGUCUAUCAAUUUGGAACUUUUUGCGACAUUAAAAUUAGUGUAUGGUAAAUGUGGAACAAAUCUAUGGUUUGAGACUUUUGGCAUUAUUAACCGAGGUAUAUAUGGUUUUGAAUUUUGUGUGAUGAUAAAUUUUCAUUAUCAGCAUGAAAGUUAAAAGGGAAUCCACUAAAAGCAAUUAUAACAUAUGGAAGAUUUGUACCAGCAUCAAACAAGCAUGUGAAAAUGGCCACGAAAAUCGUUAAUUAAGAAAAACUAAACACAAGCAUGGGGAUGCAAAACAUAAUGAUAAACCAAAACUAUUGAAUAAAUGCUUCCAAUACUUUCGGCGAGCAUAUUUUCGCACGAAGGAAAAUGUAAUUAACUGAAUAGAACAUUGCUUAGAAGUGAAAAAAAAAAUGGUAUCUAUGAAGUUGUCGACAAAAACAAUAAAGACACAAGAAACUUUUAAUGAAAAAACAAGUAGGGAUUCAUAUGAAAGAAUAAAAGUUUGAAGGAAAAGUUGAAACCACCAAUGUGUAAUUCGUCACCUAAAACAAGAAACAAAUUUGAGUUUGUAAAAGAUUAGGUUACAAUAAAAGAAAUAUGCAGAAGACUCGAGUUCCUUACUAAUACAAAUUUUAUCAACUUUUAUGUCCAAUCUGUUCAUACAGAAGAUCUCAUUAAUCCAUGGCAAAAUUGAUCAAAAUUAGAUGACUACCACUUCAAAAUAAAAAAAGCAACAUGACAACGAAAAUAUAGCAUUAAACAUUUGUAGUGAUAAAAAGAAAAGUAAGGAUCAUGUAUAGAACAUUUGAUGUUAUUAAUUUUCCUUCCACAUACAACGAAAACCCUCGUUGAGGGAACACACAAUGAGAAAGGAAUGUAAAACAUACGUAUCUUUUGCGAUGACAUUCUUGUUUUCAUUUUGACAUUGACAAUUGCAAACAAAGUAAACACCAAAAGUGAGGAAAUUCUACAAUUGGGAUUCUUUAAUUUUGAUACUUAUAUCGAUGGGAAGUUUGAUAGAUGCACUUGGAUGGUUAGAGUUGUAUUGGUUUGCAUAUACAUGAUAGGAGUAAAGGAAGUGUUAUUUCACAUAUAAAGGGUAUGAAUUUUGAUAAAUAUAUAUUUGAAUUACAAUAUGCAUGAAGAGAGGCCUUCAAUUGUAUUUGCAAAUGGACGCAAAUUUUGGAAAUUCAAAAGGUGCAAAAUGAGAAUGGUAUAGGUGGAUGAGGAAAAAGUUUGGAGACAACCACUUGAGCUUCUCAUCUUUACAUAUAUUAGAUAAAUAAAAUGCAACUACAACCUUUCAUUUCGCAAAAAUGAAAGGUAAAAGCUUACGCCAUAGUAGUAUGAUAGCAAAUUGAAAUCAAUGCAUUUUAUUUUAUAUCAAUUGGUAUCAUCUCAUCAUUCAAAACUUAUGGUCCACAAUGUUUCCAAGUUGUAGGGCACCAGAAAGAUCGAGGCCCUUUCUUUUAGCAAAUGUCGUAAGGGAAGAAGAUAUGCAGCCAAACAGUUUAAAAAAAUGACCAACUUGAGGUUCCUUCAAGUGGAUGGUGCUAAUUUCACUGGAGAUUUCCAAAGCUUACUUCCUGAGUUAAGAUGGCUUUGGUGGAAUGGUUGUCCCUCAUAUUUCACUAUGGCCAACUUUCAUCCAAAGAAAUUAGUCGUACUCAAUCUGUCAAAUAGUGCAAUUUCGGAGGAUUGGGAAGGAUGGGAUUCACUCAAGGUAAGACAUAAAGAAGGCAUUGAAGUAUUUUUUAACAUAACUUCUUUUUUCCUUGUACAUUUGAAAAUUUAUUUUCAUAAUUAAAUUAGCCGUUUCUCCUUAAUUUGAUACUAUUGAAGGAAAACAUAGUGCCCGAUUAAUGUAUCUCUCUUCCACUUGAAUUUGUCAUCUAGUUUUUUUAUAAUAAAAGUUGCUUAUGUCUAAUUAGAAAAUAUCUCAUUUGAAAUUUUAUUCGAAAAUAAAUGCAAUUAGCACUCGUACACUCUAAUAUUCUUUUGCAAUUGAUGUGCUUAAAAAACAUUUAUCUAUUGACGGGACCAAACAUUACGAAAAGAGGCAUUUAAAAUUAAAUAAGACAACCGUGAAAGAGUAGAGGAGCAUGGGUAAUUUUUUAGGAAUUCUAAAAUGUCAAAAACAUGAGUAGCAAAAAAUCACAGGUUGCGACAGUCCAAUUACAUUGACGUAUCCUUUCUUUCUUCCAGAUGGCAACCGAGCUCAAAGCUCUCUUCCUCGACUUUUGUCAAUUUUUGAAAAGAUCUCCCGACUUGUCCACUUUCAAAAGGUUGGAGAUUUUACAUCUUGCAUUUUGUAAGAAUCUAGAAGAGCUUCAUCCUUCUAUUGGAAAUUUGGCAUCAUUGAUCGAGCUAGAUUUAUCAUGCUCAUCGAUUAUGAAAUUACCCAAAAGCAUUGGGAAUUUGCAAAAUUUGAGGAUCUUACGUAGUGAUAUGUCUAACAUAACGGAAUUGCCUUAUGCCAUUGGGACGUUGGCAAAACUCCAACAGUUGGAAGUUGGUAAUUGCCCAAAUCUUAAGCGACUACCUAGUAAUAUAUGCAAACUGAUUUCGCUAGAGGAGCUUUCCGUUUCAGGUUGUAAAAAGAUUCAGAAAUUACCUGAACUGCCCUCCGGCUUAACCGACCUAUUGAUCACCUGCCAGGGGCAGUCUUUGCCCCAUCUUUCCCAGCUAAUCCGUCUCAAGAUACUCCUUAUUGUUGGUUGCGGUCGGCUUGAAUGUGUCCCAGAGCUUCCCAUUGGACUAUCGGAUCUUCAAAUUAGACAAUGUGGAAAAUUGAAAGCCUUGACGAAUUUGUCAGAAUUGAAACACUUGCGAUAUUUCCAUAUAUUUAAAUGCCCAUCUCUGGAACGAUCGCCCGACGUGUUGAAUUUUAGGCGUACGCAGAUGAGAGAACUUGGCUUGAAAGAGAUCCCCGACUCUUUUUGGGGCUUAGAAUUCAAGCGUUAGCAGACGUGAAGAGCUACGGGGGGGUGGGGUGCAGAAGAGAAGGAGGGCUAGACGUCCGUGAAUCUCUCUCUCUCCGUCGCUACUAGUCAGUCGCCCUACUGGUUUCCAAGGCCCGAAGAUCGAAGCCAUCGUUCACACCGCCCAUCCACCGCAGGCAAGCGGGCAGGUCUGUCGGCGCGAUGGCGACGGCGACGAGGCGACGGCGACGAGGCGACGCCACGGCUGGCAACGCCCUCUCCAUCCACUCCAGGUAAACGCACCCACGCAUGCGUCUCUCCAGCUUUCCUGCGGUCUCUCAGCUUCAGCUGCAUUUUAGAACCCCGGUCAGACUGCGUCACUUCGGCCCGCGAGCUCAUCGAUUGUUCGGAUUGGAGAUUUUAGUUUGCUCGUAGUAGCUAGUGCAGUAGCUUUCUGGGAAUUGAUGGGAUUUUUCCCCCAAUUUUCAGGUGUUCUUGGCGAUGUUUCUGUUCGUCUAGUGUACUGCGAUAGAUCUGAUGGAUAAGACCACUUAUAGAAAGAAGAAGAGAGACUCCGAAACGAUGGUGCUCGCGGACUUUUGAGCCGAUUCCUCGAGCUCGCCCUUCCAAUUUCGAUGCUUGAUUCGCCUACUUGGGUACUUCUUUCUCUUUUUUCUUGAAUGAUGAUGAAAGGAAGGUUGGGGUUGAUAUUCCUGUGGAAGUUUAACGGUGGCGCCUCUGUAUGUGUAUACAAAGAGAUAUGCAAUAAAGCGAAGAGAUUAGCCUGUGGAGAUAUCCUUUCUGGCAGGGUAUAAGUGAGUCUUCAGCGCCUGACCGCUUAGCUUUGGAGCAGACAGGGAACUCAACAAGUACAAGUCAGUAGCUGUGGCAUGUGGAUGAGCUGAGUAGGAAAGUGGUGCACAAAGCUCUGGAUAAGCUGGACAUAGUUGUUUGGGGUACUAUCUAGGAAAAUACUUUGGACUUGUACAUCUACAAGAUGGGCCCACCCUCCUUUUCACUUGAAGAGAAAAAGGCGCUGUCUUAGUGAAGUAAUUUUUUUUUGCUUUAUCGCCUUUUCAGGGUUUAGUGAAGUCGGGAGUUGGGGCUCCUCUUUGUUUUUUAUUCUGCUUAGUAGAUGUGUUUUUGGGGUCUGCAUUAUCUUUUAUAGAGAUGGAUAGGUAUUUCCUCGUUGCCUUACUUAUACUUAUUGCAUAACAAGGAAACCGAGGAGAAAAGAAAUUGAGAUUGGGUGCCGGAGGAGCGAUUUUUAAUACUAAUUCAGGGUAGAUGUUCGUCUACCCACUGACAAACUAAUAUGCAAUCAAUUAAAAAUGAACUAUGAGUACGGGUUGUAAUUGCAAUAAGGGUUUGCCGCUGAGUUUCUCCCUUCCAUGAACAUAGCAUGUGUUACGUUUGCUGGAGAAAGAAAUAUUGAAAAAAGUGCAAGCCAAGAUUAUUGUGUUUGGUCACCUACCUGGUUCUUGGGGCUUGAACUUUCGUCUCUGCCUUCCUCUUCAAGUGAUAUAAAGGAGUCACAAUUAUUUGAUGACACUGAUACUUGGAUAUUCAUACAUUUAAAUUGUUUUACCUGUAUUUAGUUGCUCCCAAACUUUCUUGUAAUGAAAGAAAUAUCUUACACACAUUAUUAGAGGUAAAUUGGUCAUCGAGGAUAACCUAUGUCCGAGUAUUUGCCUUCUCAUCUCUGCUUUUAGGUGAAAAGCUAGUGGAAUUUUCACUCUUCAUUGAUGGUAUUUCAUUGUUGUGGUAUGCUGAAUGCUGAUAAGUUCCUCUGGAUUAGUCAGAGCAUGAUGAUUGGUGGCUAUUAAUUAUACCCAUGCGAGAUCUUUACCUUGAAAGUUGGUUUAAGGAUUGCUAUCUAUCUAGAAUGCAAUUUAAAAGAUGGAAGUUGGUCACAUCAAAAUCAUUCCCAGUUUUGAUCAGGAACGGGAUCGUUGGAGAUGUGGAAUGGGAUUCUCACUCCUUGUCCCAGAUAUCCUACUUUGCCUAUUUAAUUGGGACUCAAUCUCAUAGUAAGUCAAAUGAAGCCCCAGUUCUCAUUGUGCAUGACCCAUUGUACGUCUAAAACAAUAUUUAAAGGCCAAACCUACUAAGUCAGGCUAACUUUGGGGAUUGAAAUACAAGGGGACUUAAAAUGAGAAUGAGGUGUUGCCCUCAUCCUGAAUUAGAUUGCAUGGAAGAUUUGAUGGCUGGUUAUGACAAGGCUGAAGAUACUUUCGAUACAGACUUGGGAGAGUCCAUAAGCUUUCAACUGGAUUAACCUUUUAUUGCUGGAGUUGGAAGUGGUAUCUACAUUCAUGAGAGGGUGCGGUAAAUAGAAGGUCUGCUGUGCCUCCGCAAACAGCAGUGCAGCACAAUGCCCUAACCUUUGUAUGGCAGCAUCUCUUCUGGCUGGGGACAGAGUUCGUUUUUCACAUCAUAUCAUAUAGCUCUUCACCUUGUCUAUUUCUUUCAUCCUCUUGUCUUCCUCUUUUCACUGCCAUCGUCUGGUUUUGCAUUCGUUUUGCUCACUUUUGUACUUUUGCCCCAAUGCUUCUCGAGAUAGCUUUCUCGAGAGGUACAGGAGCUUCCUCAGUGGUGUGCUUCUGUUGUGGUGGUUCUUGUGCUUUUGAUUUCUACAUUUGAGCUUCAUUUCCCUUUUUUAAAAGAUAACAUGUAGGUAUUAGUGCAGAAAAAAAGAUUAACAAUCUAUUUCUUUAGAACUUAAUUUUCUGUAGAGUCUUAUGAUCAUUGAUCCAAAGUAUGUUCCGAUUUCAAUCAUGUGGGAUUGAUCUUAACAACCUUUAACUUGAGGGUUAAAUUUAUAUGUAUUUAUACUACAAGGACUGCCUCGCAUAUGCGAACUGAUUAAAUCUUCAACUGUUGUUUUGGUGUAGCUGCGAUGUGACAUCUAUGUAUUACUAUCUGAAAAAUGAAUGUCCUUAGCAUAUCUAUAUGGGAAUUGGUUCUAGGCAAUCCAUCAAGAUUCAAUAUCUUAGUCUUAGGGCUUGUGCUUUACUAUGGUGGAAUCCUCUAGAAUCUAGUAUGGUGGAAUCCACUGGAAUCUAGGAUUGUGGAAUCCUCUUCUGUUUCUCACCUUGUGUUUCUUGAUUCUUUCACAAGAUUGCCCCAGAUUUUUACUGAUUCUUGUUCUUCUACCUUCGUGUGAAUCACAUACAUCUUUUCGGGUCUAGUACAGGACAUGUUUCAUGAUAUGUCCUUUAUGGGGAUAAUGGUGCAUGUGCCGUUUGCAAGUUUUCAAUUGGCUGGGAUUCUCUUGAUACAGAUACCUAUAUUCAUAUUGCACCUUCCUAUUAUCCCUUUUGAUUUCUUCUUUGACUAUUUCUUCAUGCUAGAAUGAAACAUCUUCCGUGCUGUUAAUCAAAUCAGUUCAACUCUAAUAAUUGUGCUCUAGGCAGAAUCAAGUCAUUGACUUGAUUAGAUGGUGACCAAUGUGCCGCUUUUUUCUCAUCAACAGGCUGUGACAGCAAUGGUGUAGCAGACUAUGCAAUAUAUUGACCAGACACCUGAUUUUGAGACAAUGAUAGAGCUUAUUGAGACACUGUACUCUAUUGCCCUGUGAUGGUUAGUAUGUGAAAAGAAACCCUAUUGCAGAUUAUGUUUAUGAGCAAUCUUUUUUUUUUUCCCCUUCCCCGUGGUUUCUAUAGCUAGUUUCGUUAUGCAGAUAUAUGUCAAAAUUGAGAGAGCACCGUCAAUUAAGAAGCUUGCAAAAGUAAAGGAAGAACAGGUUCUUAUAGCAGAAGCUAUUGACUUUAUGCAGGAAAUUGCAGUAACUAGAAGCUGACUACUGUUGUCCCUGAUCUUGUAAUUGAUUUUUCCUUGUCCAACAUUCCUAUGAUGGGUUUAAAUUGCAGGUAGAAACUUUUGAAGCAAUGGCAGAGACGGAGAAAGUUGCCUUUAUCCUUGAACAAGUAAAGGUUUUCUGUAUUGCUUUAAGCUGCUUAUGCACUAUUGCUAAGAUUGGUUUUCUAAUCGAUGGAUUUUGCAGGUUCUUUGUGCUUAGAUCACAGGGAUUAUGUCCAUGCACAGGUCCUUUCCAGAAAGAGAAGCUGUUGACUUUAUGCCGGAAAUUGCAGUAACUAGAAGCUGACUACUGUUGUCACUGAUCUUGUAAUUGAUUUUUCCUUGUCCAACAUUUCUAUGAUGGGUUUAAAUUGCAGGUAGAAACUUUUAUGUUGUGUCCACUAUCUUUUAACUAAAUUGUUUUCACCAAUCAAUUGCUACCUGGUAUUCAAGUUAGGGUUCAAACCAUGAACUUCUAUGGCUUUAUUUAGUUGGUACAUACUCUUCUUCCUUUCUAGCUUUACAGCAAACUCUGACGAUCAAGAUGUGCUUAAUGGAUCUAAACAUACAUCUCAGUUUACCUAGUGUUCAUGUUGUUAAUGAUGUAGGUAUUGCUCACAUCACAACAAUUACCUCAAGAUAUGUUGAUGCUAUAAGGCCACACGGUGAAGGGAAACCCAGAGCAAUUGAUACUGGUGAAGCUCUAUUGUUGUUGAGUCUUCACUGAGUGUUUUGAGGCACGGCUGUAGGUUCUAAGGAAAAUCUACUGGUACUUGGUUCUAUCACCACAUAAUCCUAUGUAGUCAAGCCUUCUUAAUGCCGCUUUAAGGAUCAAAAUCUCUCAUAUAUUACCCAAUUCAGGUACCAUUUUUGAAUUGUUCUGGGUAAUUGGUUGUACAUCUUGCAACAUCUCAAUAACGUGCCAUAGAAUUUGGUUGACCAUGCCUUUGUUACUUCAACGCAGGUUGCUUCUGAAACAAUUGGUCACACUAGAGGCUAUCCAAUGGACUGCUCUUUGGAGUACUUUUAAAGAUGAAUUUGAGAAUGAGAAAAACAUGCUCGGAGGUGCACUUGUUGAGAAGGCAGCAGAAGAUCUUAGACAGAGAAUCAUUAAACGUGUAAUUACAGAACUUUGUCAUUUGUGACUCACUCUAUUUUCUGCAGAAUAUUAUUGUUGUUUCAAAGUAUUACCCGAGGAUUAUUUUAAAUAGACUUCCAGAGCUGUGAUGCCUUAGUAUUUAGAUCUGAUUAUGGGGAACAUUGGUUUAUGUUUUCUUAUCAAUGUCAUCUUUAUGAAUGAUUUUCAAGACCCCACAUUUAACCCUGAGCAGCCUCUCUGCCUGUAAUCCCUGAUUGCGACAUGGUUGCCGGACUUGGAUACAAAUUCUAAAAUAGUGGAAACGAGGUUUAGGUACCUUGAAAGCCGAAGGCUUGUCAUACUAUUGAAAAUGUUGUCUUUGUAGUUUCGUUCCGUAAACAUUUCUGAUCGACAUAUACGUGUGCACUUGGCUUAGUCAACUUCUGCUCAUAAAAUUUUUAGCUGUGUGAUUGUCUGGUAUUGUGAAACCAUUUCUUGUCCCAUGGAGCCGAUGCCCUUUGGAAGGGUGGGAGGAGCUGUGCUAUAUUGCUAAAAUAGUUAAGCAAGUUUUUUCUGCUAGUAUUAGCACUCACCGUUUCUGGCAUAUAAAAGUAUGUCCCACUGUUGGAGCUUUCUUAAUGUGUUUAGAAAACCUACGUGGCUGAAUCACUCAGGGAGAAGAGCUCUCUUCUCGGGUUUCUAUUACUGCUGUUGUAGAGCAUUUUAAUCGUUCACAUGCCUCAAUUGAUAAAAUCAAUGCUAUCAUCUAAUAGAAAGAUCGCCCGACGUGUCGAAUUUUAGUAUUCGAGCGUUAGCAGACCUCAAGAGUUAACCGUGGGGGGGGUGUUGCAGAAGAGAACGACGGCUGGAUGCAACGCCCUCUCCAUCCGCUCCAGGUAAACACAUGCACGCGUCUCUCGAGCUUUCCUGUGGUCUCUCAGCUUCAGCUGCAUCUUAGAACCCCGGUCGGACCGCGUCACUCCGGUGCGCGAGCUCAUCAAUUGUUUGGAUUGGAGAUUUUAGUUUGCUCGUAGUAGGUAGCCCGAUAGUUUCGACAGCAAUUGGGUAGGCGGUUGAAGCAAAAAGUCGCGCUGGCUGCCAAGGUUCUGUCGAGAUUUGGUGAGUUGACCAAGGUCACGAGCUUAGGUUUGCUGUUUUUGAGCUGAGGCUAGCACGUACUGUUUAGUCAAAUUCCUGCAUUAGUGACGCUGUGAAAGCUCUAAAUCGGCCACGAGUAGAUGUGUGGGGGCGUGAUGCAGAUGAUCGAUCAAUCGCAUUUGAAGUUUAGAGUCGAUCCAUCUCAUGACGUAAAUUUGCAAUUGCAGAUAGUUGGGGUGGCGGUGUUCAGUUUCCUAGCAGUGGCCUUCUACAUCUUCCCAGGACUGUUGCUUGGGAGUAGAGCCGCUGAAAUCACUGUGAUGACAAUAGUCUCUUUUGUGGUAAUUCCCUUAGCGUUUACUUUGUGCCAUGAUGACAUUGAUUGCUUUUCUUUUGUCAGUUUUAGGGAAUUGAAUUAUAAGGGGAUUAUAAAUGAGAAUGAGGUGUUGCCCUCAUUCUGAAUUAGAUUGUAUGGAAGAUUUAAUCGGUGGUUGUGGCAAGGUAGAAUAUACUUUAUAUACAGACUUGGGGGAAUCCAUAAUAACCUUUUAUUGAUGGAGUUAAAAGUGGGCUCUACCUUCAUGAGAGCUUGGGUUGGGGUAGAUGGAAGGUCUACUGUGCCUCCACAAACAAUAGUGCAGCACAGUGCAGUACAAUGCCAACACCUUUGUACGACAGCCAUCUUUUCUGACUGGGGACAGAAUUCUCUUUUACAUCAUAGCAUAUAGCUCUUUACCUUUUCUAUAUUUUUAUCCUCCCGUCCUCUUCUUUUCACUGCCAUUGUCUGGUUUUGCGUUUGUUUUAUUCUCCUGUACUUUUGCCACAGAUGCUUCUCUAGUUAACUUUCUCUAAGAGGCAUGAGAGCUUCUUCAGCGAUGUGCUUUUGCUGUGGUGGUAUUAGUGCUUUUGUCUUCUACUUUUGAGCUUCAUUCCCUCCUUUUAAAGAUAACAUACACGUGUUAGUACAGAAUUAAGAAUUUGAGAAUCUAUCACUUUGCAUCUUAAUUUUCUGUAGUCUUAUGAUCAUUGAUUCAAAGUCCAAUUUCAAUCAAUUAGGAUCAAUCUUAACAACCUUUACCUUACGGGUUAGAUUUUAUACUGUAGGGAUUGGCUCCCAUAUGAGUACUGAUUAGAUCAUGAAAGGUCGUUUUUGUGUAGCUAUGACAUGCCACCUAUGUAAAACUAUCUAAAAACUGAAUGCGCUUGGUGUAUCUACAUAGGAAUUGGCUCUAGGCAAUCUGUUGGGAUGCAAGAUCUCAAGCCUGGUGCUUGUUCUCUAGAAACUAGUAUGGUGGAAUGCUCUAGAAUCUACUAUUGUGGAAUUGUCUUUAGUUUCUCACCUUGUGUUUCUGGAUUUUCUCCCAUGAUUGCCCCAAGUUUUUACUUUUUGUUCUCCUACUCAUGUAAUCUCAUUACUUUUUUUUCAUGUCCUGUUCAUGAUAUAUCCUUUAUGGGGAUCUUGUGGUGCUUGUGAUGUUUGCAAGUUUUCAAUUGGCUGGGAUCCUCUUCAUAGAGAUACCUGUAUUUGUAUUAUACCUUGCUAUUGUCCCUUUUGCUUCCUGUUUUUACCAUUAUUUCAUUCUAGACUGACAAAUUUUCCGUGUUGUAAGACCCUACUUAUAGCAGAAGCUACUGAUUUGAUGCAAAAAAUUUGAAUAACAAGAAGUUGACUUCAGUUAUCACUGAUCUUGUACUUGGUUUUUCCUUGUCCAACAUUCCUAUAAUGGGUUUGAAAUGCAGGUAGAAACUUUUGGAGCAACGGCAAAGACCUGGAAAAUUUCCUUUAUUUUUGAACAAGUACGAGUUUUUGUAUUGCUUUUAGCCAUUUAUGCACUAUUACUAUGAUUGGUUUUCUGAUUGAUGGAUUUUGCAGGUUUGUCUAUGCAUAGAUUGCCAGGAUUAUGUCUGUGCACACAUCCUUUCUAGGAAGAUCAGGCCCCAAGUGAUCAAUGCAGAUCCUUCCAAAGAGAAGAAUAAGCCUAAAGAAAGCGCCAGCUGAUAUUCCGUCUCUUCUGGAGUUGAAACAAUUAUACUACGACUCAUGACACGGUAAACUUGUGUUUCACUUUUUCUAAUGUUGUAUCUACUAUCUUUUAACUAAUUUGUUUUUGUCGAUCAAGUGGCACCUGGUAUUCUGGACCAUGAACUUGUAUGGCUUUAUAUAUCUAGCACAUACUCUUCUUCCUUUCUAACUUUAUUGCAAACUCUGACUUCCAGAUUUACUUGAUGGAUUUGAACUCGCAUCUCGAUAUAUCUCGCAUUUAUGUGGUUAACGAUAUCGGUAUAAAUGAUUACCUUGAGAUUUGUUGAUACUGUAAGGCGAUAUAUGAGAUUCCAUUAGUGAAGGGCAACCCAGAGCAGUGGAUAUCGGUGAAGCUCUUUCCUUGUUAAAUCUUUACUGAGUUUUUCAAGGCACAAUUGUUCAUUCUGUGAUUUAAUGAAAUGCAGGUUCUAAGGAAAAUCUGCUCGUACUUAGUUCUAUCACCACAUGAUCCUGUACAAUUAAGCCUUCUUAAUGCCACUUUAGAAAAUAAACAUCUCUCAGAAAUUCCCAUUUCAUCUUUGAAUUGUUUUAGGUUAUUGGUUGUACAUCUUGUAAUAUCUCAAUAAUGUGCCAUAGAAUUUGGUUGACCAUGCCUUUGUUAUUUUAACACAGGUUGCUGCUGAAACAAUUGGUCAUGGUGGAGGUUAUCCAAUGGACACCUCUUUAAAGUACUUUCAAAGAUGAAUUUGAGAAUGAGAAAAUGUGCUAGGAGGUGCACUUGUUGAGAAGGUAGCAGAAAAUCUUAGACAGGGCCCAAUCAUAGUCAAAAGAAGAAUUUCUGCUUCUCCUGGGUGAGACAAGCUACCUUUGGCUAGGGGCCUCAUCAGAGAAUCAUUGAACAUGUAAUUACAGAACUCGUUGUUUUUCUUCUUUUAAUUGGAUCAUCACUGAGAUGUGACUCACUCUAUUUUGUGCAGAAUAUUAUUGUCAUUUUGAAGUAUUGCUGGAGGAUUACCUUAAAGAGACUUGCAGAGCUGUUAUGCCUCAGUAUCCAGGUCUGAUUAUGUGGAACAAUUGUUUAUGUUCAUUAUCCAUGUCACUCUUUAUGAAUGAUUGCCUAGACCCCUCAUUUAACCCCGAGCAGCCUCUCUCCCAUGAUCCCUAAUUGGGGCAUGGCUGCUGAUCUUGGAUACAAGUUCCAAAUGUGUAAAGAGGUUUUGGUGCGUUGAAAGCCAAAGGCUUGUCAUGGAUUUGAGAGUGUUGUCUUCAUAAUUUUGUUUUGUACACUUGGCUUAGUCAACUUCUUGUUGUAGUUGUGUCAUUUUCUAGCAUUAUGAAGCCAUUUCUUGUGCCAUGGAGCCUGAAAUUCUAAUGCACUUUAUAAGGGUGGGAGGAGCUCUGUUAUAUUGCUAGAAAUAGCUAAGCUAGCUUUUUCUGCUAGUAUUAACACUCACCAUACCAUUUCCUGCGUUACAAAAGUAUAUCUCGCUGGAGAUCUUGAUUAAUGUGUUUAGGAAAUCUUUGAAGUUAAAUCACUCUAGGAAAAGAGCUUUGUUUUUGGGUUCUCUUACUACUGUUGUUGAGAGCUUUAAUCAAUCACAUGCCUCAAUUUAUUAAAUCAACGCUAUCAUCUAAUAGAGAGACCAUAUAAUGAUAAUUAUUCAAGCUUUUGUGAUAUUCUAUCAGCAUGACCUCUUACUUCUAUAUUACCAUUUUAGGAAGCUGAGAAGCAUCUCUCCUUGAUGGUUGUUUCCAAGUCCCUAAUGGCAAAGAUAGACUGGCCAAAGGGAAUUGUUAGUUUCAAAAUGACAAAGGACAGCAAUGAGAUUUUAAACUUAGAGGAGACAAUUUUGGAAAAGCUGCUUCUUUUUGUUAAGAAAAGUUGCCACCAAAUCCCAAAGGAAACUGCAGUUCAUAAGGCUGCCUCAAGAGCUUGAAGAUGUUUUCAUUUGAAUGAAUGAUCUCUCCUCAAUGAAUGCUGUUUCACAUUGUGGUCCAAAGUGUGGACGGGAGAUAUUCAUCAUUGAACUCUCACAUGGCUGUCUUAAACUUGAUUGCAUAUUUUGCAAGAUGACCAGAUCUUGGCUUUGUUUCGGAUAUACUUAAUACGCUUUCAAAAUAGGAAUGUAGUUUGGUUUUUUCAACUUUCCUCUUUCCCCCAUCAUUUUAAUUGAAGAUUUAUGGGCUCAGGUCCGAAACUUAUAUCAAUGGAACAGGUAUUAGCACAAGAUGUGCACUCAUUUGGACUGAAAUAAGUGCCUCGUUACUAAAUUCUGUUUCGCAUUACAAAUGUUGCUAGUGCUUGUGUUUUUCUAACAUCGUGAAUAACAUUAGCUCUCCCUAGUAAAGGCUUAACGAAUGGUACUUUUUCCAUUUUAUUUCACAUUUGAAAUGAGCACCCUGUUUCUAGAGAACUUCAUUCCGAUAAGAUAACUGCACAUUUUAUCUCUUCGAGAGACGUUUUUUUUCUUCAAGUUGAUACUUGAUAGAAGAUGGAGCUUGUUUUUUAGAUUUCCAGCUCCCUUAUUUUCUUCAUGGAAACUGAAAAAUUUGGGAAAAGCUAUGGCCAUGAUAUCUUUUGGCUAUGAAAAUAGUUGUGCCCCAUAAGUGAAAAGCACCAUUUUACUUUCUUCACCAAGUAAACGUAUUUAUUAUUUUGUUAGAGAAUGUGAUUAUAGAAAUUACUUAGCAUAAUUUAAAGAAAAUUCAUGAUUUUUACUAUAGUAACUUUUCUUGUUAUAUGUGCCGUUAAUGGAUUGGAAAUUACAUAAAUCAUCAUAGAUACACUUAAAAGUUAUUCUUGAGGUCCUCAUUAACACGAUCAAUCAUUUAGGAGAAAUAAAAAAAAUUUCUUCAAAAUUUGAUCCUCAGUUUAAAGCAGCCUGGAACUUGUUUUACUACCUCUAGUUAACUUAAUUAGUGUUGUAGUGUAAUUAUCAACGCCUUAUUUCAAGUGCAGGGAAAAUUCGAGAUAACGCAAAAAUCAAUUUUUUGGUCAAUAUUUGAAGAUCUCUUUUUGUCCCAUACUUGAGAACUAAUUAAAAUUCUGAUAGGAAAAAGAUUACUAUAAAGCAUUCAAAACAUUUGAUUUGACAAAAAUUAAUCAUUACGGUAAGGGUGGUGAUCGUAUACUUGAAGAAGGAGGCUCCAUCGAUUUUAAUCGACAAUUUUCCACAAAUUAGAGCGGUACCAAUUUGAAAACCCUAAUGCAUUUUCGCUUUUUUGUUUCUUUAUAGAACCUCAAGCCCCAUCUUCCCUUUCUUUUAUACAAUUCUCUCAUUUUCAAUUUGUUUUUUCCUAUUUUUGCCUUUCCGUCCUACCAAUAAUGGCGUCAUGCCUUGCCAGGGAGCCGCUUUCCCGGGAGGCCGCCUUGCCUUCGCGAGCGACCCUCCUCUCUCCGCGUGCUACGAUCUUCGGAGAUGAAAAAACGUGACCCCAAAUUUUACUUUCCUCCUUAGAGGUUCGAGUUCGGCCCAUGUCGAGAAAUCGCGAUGGUUUCUGAAUGUGGGUUUCUCCGUUUGCGGAUUAAAAUCAGCGCGGCUGAGACGAGAAGUACCAGCGAGAGGAAAAGCGCUCGUCCCUACCGAUCUGAGCAUCGCAGUACCCGAAGGAACAUGUGCUCGAGUAGCUAAUGUGCAGCUUCUCAUCUCGAAACAUCGUCUCAAUACCUUGUUUUGGAUGAUUGACGAGGGCCGAAUCGAAUCGCGUGUGCAUCUGUUGCUUCAGCACCUGAUAUCGGGUUUGGCGUGGAAGCAUUAGAUCGACGUCUGUGUGGGCGUGAUCGAUGCGGACUACAGAGGCCCGGUUGGGGUGAUCCUGUUCAAUUACUCGGACGUCGACUUUGAAGUGAAGGUGAGUGACAAGACCGCGCAACUGAUCCUUAGUCCGUGAUGAUAGAGAUAAGGCAUAUUGUUUAAGUUAAGUAGUUUUAUUUUGUUUUAUCAUCUUUUCCUGGUUUAGUGAAGUCAGUUAUUGGUGGUCCACUCUGUUUUUAUUCUGGUUAGUAGAUUUGUUUUAGGAUUUGAGUUAUCUUGUAAAGGGAUGAAUUCUUUUUGGUUUAGAUGGAUAGGUAUUUCCUUGGUGCCUUACUUAUUAUACCUUUUACACAACAAAGAAACCGGGGAGAAAAGAAAUUGAGAUUGGGUGCCAGACUAGUGAUUCAAAAUACUAAUCAACCGAAGAUGAACAAUAAGUAUGGGUUGUACCUCUCCAUUGCAAUAAGAGUUUGUUGUGGAGUUUCUCCCUUGCAUGAACAUAGCAUGUGUCAGGUUUGCUGGUGGCGAAAGGAAUAUUAAACAAGCGAGAGCCAAGAUUAUUGUGUUCAGUCGUCUACUGAUUUCCUGGGGCAUGAAUUUUUGUCUUCCUAGCUAUAAGCACUCUUUUCCUUCCUCAUCAAGUGCUUGAGUCAAAAUUAUUUGAUGACACUUUUGAUACUUGGAUAUUCAUACCUGUUAAAAUGUUUUUCCUGUAUAUAGUAACUCCCAAACUUUCUUUACCAAAGAAAGUAUCUUACACUCAUUUGAUAUGAGCAAAUUGGAUUGUCUAGAUUAACCGAUGUCUAGGUAUUUGCCUUUUCAUCUCUGCUUUUGGGUGAUAAGCUGGUGGAAAUUUUGCUCUUCAUUGAGUGUAUUUCAUUGUUAUGCUGUGCUGAAUGCUGAUAAGUUCCUCUGGAUUAGUCAGAGCAUUAUGACUGGUGGCUAUUUAUUAUACCUGUACCAGAUUUUUACCUUGACGAUUGUUAUUAGGAUUGCUAACUGUAUAGGAGGCAAUUAAAAAGAUGCAAGUUGGUUGCAUCGACAAUCAUUCCCAGAUUGGAUUAGGAGUAAGAUCACUGGAGAUGUAGGAUGGGAUUCCUAGUCCCAGUCCACCUACUUUGCCUAUUUAAUUAGGACUCGACCUCAUAGUAAAUCAAAUUAGGCCCCAUUUCUCAUUGUGCAUGACCAAUUGUAUGUCUGAAACAAUAUUUAAAGGCCGAACCUGCUUUUUGGGCUAACUUUGGGGAUUAAACUGUAAGGGGAUUAUAAAUAAAAUUGAGGUGUUACCCUCGUCCUGAAUUAGAUUGGAUGGAAGAUUUAAUUGGUGGUUGUGGGAAGGCUGAAAAUACUUUCUAUGCAGACUUGGGAGAGUCCAUAUGCUUUCACCUGGAUUAAGAAUAACCUUUUAUUGCUGGAGUUGGAAGUGAGCUCUAAUUUCAUAAGAGCUUCGGUUGGGGAUAUGGGAGGUCUGCUGUGCCUCCACAACCAGCAAUGCAACACAAUGCCAUCACCUUUGUACUGCAACCAUCUACAGAAUUCUUUUUUAGGUCACAGCAUACAGCUCCUCACCUAGUCUAUUUCUUUUACCGUCCUCUUGUCUUCUUUUCAAUGCCAUCAUCUGCCUUUGCUUUCAUUUUGUUUUCUUCUUUUCUUUUGCCAUCAUCAGCAGUGCAGAGUCUUAUGAUUAUUGAUCCAUAGUGUGGUCCAGUUUCAAUCAUUUGGGAACAAUCUUAACAACCAUUACCUUAAAGGUUUUAUUUAUAUGAACUUAUACUGCAGCCAUUGCCUCCCAUAUGUGUACUGAUUAGAUCAUAUGCUGUCGUUUUGUGUAGUUGUAAUAUGCCAUCAUGUAUGACCAUUUGAAAAAUGAAUCUCAUUGGCACAUCUAUAUGGGUAUUGGCUCUCGGCAAUCCCUAGAGGUGCUAGAACUCAGGCCCAGUGCUCAUGCCGUUUGCAAGUUUUUUCAAUUGGCUGGGAUCAUCGUGAUUGUAUUUGUAUUGCACCUUGCUAUGACCCCUUUAAUUCCUCUUUUUACUCUAUUUUCUUUCUAGAUGAAUAAUUUUUCUUGCUGUUAAUCAGAUAGUUCAACUGAAAGUUAUAAUUGUGCCCUAGAAAUAAUCAAGUAAUGAAUUAAUUUGAUGGUGACACUUAACUCUGUUGCUCCUAGGAAGGUGAAAAUGUGAAAUCAAACUCUAUUGUGGCUUAUGUUCAUGAGCAACCUGUUUUGGUUUCGUGGUUUCUAUAGCUAGUUUCAUUAUGCAGCUAUAUGUCGAAAUUGAGAGAGUGCGGCUGAUAAAGAAACUUGCAAAAGUUAAAGGAAGAACAAGGUCUUACAGCAGAAGCUGCUGAUUUAAUACAAGAAAUUGCAGUAGCUAGAAGUUGACUUCUGGGUUCACUGAUCUUGUAAUUGGUUUUUCCUUGUCCAGCAUUAUGAGUGGUUUGAAUUGCUGUGGAAAAUUUUGGAGCAUUGGCAAGUACGGAGAAAAUUGCCUUUAUCCUAGAACAAGUAAGGGGUUUUCGUAUUGCUUUUAGCCGUUUAUGCUCUCUUACUAUGAUCAGUUUUUUUAUCAAUGGUUUUGUAGGUUCUUUUGAGCUUAUAUUGCCAGGACUAUGUCCAUGCACAGAUCCAGAAAAUCAGGCCCCCAGUGUUUGAUGAGAAGAAAAGGCCUAAAGAAGGGGAAAGUAUUGUGGAAGAAGCGCCAGCUGAUAUUCGGUCACUUCUGGAGUUGAAACAGAUAUAAUCAGAACCCAUAAUAUGGUGAAUUGGUGCUUUACUUAUUCUAAUGUUGUAUCUACUAUUUUUAUAACUAAAACUUUUUGGCCGAUCAAGCACUACCUGGUAUUCAGGUUGUGGUUCAAGCCAUGGUUUUAUUCAUCAGUUGCAUUCUCUUUUUCCUUUCUAUCUUUAUUGCAAAUUCUGAUGUAAGAGAUGUACAUAAUGGAUUUGAACACAUAUCUUACCUCACAUUCAUGUGGUUAACGAUGUAAGUAUUAUCCACAUUACAUGGGUUACCUUGAGAUUUGUCAUUGCUAUAUGGCAAUAUAUGAGAUUCCAUCAGUGAAGGGGAAACCCAGAGCAGCGGAUACCAGAGAAGCUCUUUCGUAUAAGGCUUUGUCGAGUCUUCACUGAUUUUUUCUAGGCACAGCUGUUCAUUCUGUGAUUUAAUUAGUUG